UAUUUAAACUUAACAACCUAUCAUAAUAAUAAUAACAACAAUAAAAUCCAUAGUAGAAAAUGUCUCGAAUAUUUAUUGAGUUCAAUUUGUUGGUCAGCUAAACAAUAAGUGUCAAUAUCUUUAAACUAGAUGAUUUUACAAACUAAACUUAGAUAAAGAAUCAAUAAUGAUUCAUAAUAAAGAUAAUCAAUAAUGGUUCAACAAUAAGUGUCUUUAUCAAAGAUGGUAUCAUGUUUAACAUAAUUCAUUUAUGUAUAUACUUAAUCAUAAGAAUAUAAAAAUGAGAUAGAACCAUAAACAAUAUAAAUGAGCUCAAAGUAUCAAAUAACGUAAUCUUGAUUUCAAUAAUGAUAUAUACUAAUGUCCAUGCGUUUAGCAUGAUCAUUAAAUGUCUUUAGUGGCAAUCUUUUAGUUAGUAGAUCUGCAAUCAUAAGUUUAGUGUUAAUGUGUUUGAUUGACAUUUUUUGUUUCUGAACUUCUUCUUUAACAACAAAGUAUUUUAAUUUUAUAAGUUUAGCACCAAUUAUAAUAUUUGUUGUCUGUUGAGAAGAAAACUACUACAAAAUUAUCACGAUAAAUUUUUAACGGCUUGACAAUACUGUCGACAGUUCCAAGUUUUGCAACCAUAAAAUAUGAAUUAUAGCCUCAAAGCAUGCUACGAAUUCAACUUCCAUAGUGGAUGCAGCAACAAUACACUGCUUCACACAUUUUCAAGAAAUUGCUCAUUCAGCUAAUAAGAACACAUAGUCAAAAGUGGAUUUUUUGUGUAUCCAUACGUCCGACAAAAUUUGAAUUUGAAUAUCCAAUCACCUCAAGAUGAUCGGAUCUCUUGUAAGUAAGCCUAUAGAAUAAGGAUUAUAUUUAAAGUUACUUCCACUGAUCCUUAGGUAUAUACAUCGAUCAACGAUGUUUUUUUUUUAAACCAAAAGAUGUGAUGGUAUCAAUUGCACUUAAGAUACCAUUGUCUGAAAGCUUGUUUAAGUUCAUAUAUUGACCUUUUUAAUUUACACACCAUAUGUUCAUUUCCUUCAACUAUAAAACUUUCUAGUUGAUCCAUGACACUUCUUCUCAAUUUUCAUUUUUAGAAAGGUAGUUUUCACAUCUAUUUGAUGAAUCUCUAAAUCAUAAUAAGCUACUAAAGCCAUAAUAAUUCUUAAUGAGUCAUUUUUUCGAGAUAGAGAUUUCUUUAUCCUUUUGAGUAUAACCUUUGACAACAAAUCUAGCCUUGUAUCAUUUGAUAUUGCCAUUUGAGUUAAGUUUGGUCUUAAAGAUCCAUUUACAUCCAACUCUUUUACUUCCUUUAGGCAAUUCUACAAUGUGGUUGACUUCAUUAUCAUUCAUAGAUUUUAACUCUUCUUUCAUGACAUAUAACUCUUUGGCAUAAUUAUCUUCUUUAAUGGCUUCUGAAAACAAAACUGGAUUAUUAUUAAUACUUACGUCAAUUUUUAACUCAUGCAAAUGAACCCAAAUAGUCAUCAGAAAUAGAUGAUCUUCUUUGUUUUACAGAUCUCCUUAACUCUACUUGUGGCCCCUCAGUUACAUGUUCAUUUGUUAUAACAGGGUCAACAACUACAGAAACAACAACUUUAAUUUCAUGAUUAUACAAUAAAACUCUAACAUUGUAUAUAAUAAUAAGUGUCAAGAUUUUUGAACUAAAUGAUUAUACAAAUUAAACUUAGAUAAAGAAUCACAUACUUUGAUCCAUGAAUGGUCUUCUAAAGAAUUGUGUUUAUCUAACUUGGCCUCCCUUAACAUAAUUAAUUUUUUUGAUGAGAAUAGUGAAUUACUUGAAUGAGUCUAUGAGAUGACCGAACCCUGAAGUUCUAUUUCUAGACACCACCCGUCAUGAUGUUUAAUUAUGAUAUUAUCUUUUUACCUAAUAAAUUUAAUAAAAUAAUGGAUUCAAAAAGAUAAAAUGACAUAUAAUAGACAACAUUAAUAAUAUAUUAUUAUAUUUAAAAUAAAUCUAAUAGUGCAAACAAAAAUAUGCAAGUCAUAUAGCACAAAGACAUUUUCUCAUAAAAAAAAAUGUCACUAUUGCUCCCAACCUCCUCACGUUUUAGUUAAAAAGCUUUCCUAUUUAACUAAAGCUCAAACAUUGACUAAGAUGUAUAAAUCCUCAAUAAAGGUUUAAGCUAAAACUAUAUAAACAAACUCUUGAAUGAGAUACAAUAAAUAAAUUAUUUGGAGAAGUCACUACAAUAUAUGUUUUACUAUUGGAUGUACGAAAAAGAAUUAUCUCACUGUUUGUUAUUAUGAAGUAGCUAGUUACAUGUUGUAGCAGUCUUACUCAUUUGCAAGAGAGUAGAGUGGCUGAAAUAUAUAUGUGGCAGUUAUUUUAUAAAAAAAAUUAUAAAUAUAGCAAAGUCUAUCAACUUCUAUCAUUGAUAAACUCGUAUAAUACUUUAUCAGUGAUAGACUAUCAACAAUGUGAGAGUUUAUCUACGAUAGAAGUACAUCACUAAUACAUUUUGCUUUAUUUAUAAUUUUUUUAAAUAUUACCAUAUACGCCAAUUGAAAUUGAUAGUGAUGGCUAUAUUUGGAUUUUAAAAGGAAGUGGUUUCAACAUAUUCAUGAACGAGAUGCAAUCCGUUUGAUUCGAUUUCAAUUUGAUUCAGUUUUGAAAUAUUGAAUGAACACCGGUAGUGGAUGCAGGCGAGGCUGCUUUGUGGUGCUUUCAUCGUCCAUGGCAAAGCGAGACGAGUGGACAGUCUUGUUUCGUUCAAAAACUGAGCCCAGGGCCCAAUGUUCGUUAUGUGGUUCGCUUGGGCCCGACUUAUCAAAAGGAGCCCAUUUGGACAAUGGUUUCCCUUUUAUUUAUAUAGAAAAUAAAAGGAAAAAUAGCGCAGAAAAAGAAAAAGCGUUGAGAUUGAGUUAGAAAAAAUUUGAACAUAAUUUUCUGGAAGAAAUAUAAAUGAUUGAAAAAACAUAAUUUAUUUAAAAAUUUAAAUUGUAAAUACUGGGCAAGGUUUAAAAGUAAUAGAAAAUCUAAAAUGAGGUAAGAUAAAAUUGUAAAUAUUUGUAUAUAUAAUUUUAAACUUUCUCGAAAAAAGAAUAGAUAAACUGUGAAAGGCAUAAUAAUAAUAAUAAUGAUAAAGAAUUGUCGGCCAAAUCUAUCUUGUUCAAGUUAUUCAUGCAGUCAACCUUUUCUGAUUUGGUCCACAAAAUUCUCAACCUAACCCAACUUUUACCAUGGAAUAAAACUUAAAUACACAUGAACCAAACCAACAAUGUUUUUAACAUAUAUAUACACACUAUAUACACAACACGCAACAAGGAAAAAAAAACCUUUCUAACUCCAUAAAUUAAAUUAUAAAUGUUCGUUGAUACAAACUACACUGUAAUCAAGUAGGUUAGCUAGUUUUCGACUUGUUUUAAUUAAUAACACGUCAAAACAUAUAUUACAAUAUGGAAAUUUUUUAAGUAGGAGUGAAUGAGUAAUUGUAUUUUAAAAAGUCUAAUUCAUGUAUAAAAUAAACAAAUUUACAUGAAAAUAUUCUUUUAUCUCAAUAGGUCUUCAAAUGGAAAGUUUAUUGUAAGGGAAAUUGUAAGAUAAAUAUGGUAAUUCUAUUUACCAAAAGACAUAGAUGGAUGAAAUUCAAAGUUUAGUAAAAGUUUUACAUCUUUUUCAAUUUUAAUAUAAACUUUGAUAAUUUCCCUCACAAACAUUAAUUACCUCUAAAAAAAACAUUAUAAUAAGAUAAUAUUUAAACCCUAAACUAAAAUUCUCCUAAUUCCUAACCUUUUUCUUGGGGGUGUUUUUUCAACACAAAAUAUCAUCAUGUGUUUAAUUGUUUUUGAAAAGUUUUUCAUUAUUGAAAUGAUUGUUCAUAAUUAUUUCCAUUUUCUAAAAGAUAUGUUUGGUGUCACAUAUCUAUCUCAAGAUAAUUAUUUUUUUCUUUUUCUUUUUCUUUUUUCUGAGAAAAUUGCUUAAAAGACCAUUGUUGGACAAGUUAUUUGACACAUUAAUUAAUUAUUGUAUGAUCAUAUGCAACUUGGAAAAAGUAUGGUAUUAUAUGGACAUCAAGUAAUAACGGUAUAUUUUCACUCAUUGAAUUAACAAUAAUGUCUCUUUAAAAGCAUAUAUUAUAUCUCAAUACCAUAUAUCCACUUGUUAUAACAAAAUAAUACUUUAAAAAAAUAAAUGGAUUAAUCACUUUACAAAUUAUAAUUGUUGGCUUAUGAGUGAAUUAAAAUGAUACAUAUGAAUUAUUAAAUUAAAUUUUAAAAAAAAAACAAAUAUUUGUGCAUGUGUGCACCAUAUAUUAAGUUUAAAGUUGUGUGUUUUCUUAAAAAGAAGAAGAAAGAAACAAUGGCUUGAAAGGGUUGUUCUCCGUGGUUAUUCUAUCACCAUAACUUAUUUACAAACGUAUGUUAUUCGUUAUCGAUCGUAUUCUUUCUUUGUUAUUGUAUAGUUUCAUCCCAUUUUGUAGCUGGUUACUCCACUCCAUCCCUCAAAUAUCAUAUCAAUUAGUUUGAGAGAAUUGUAUUCAACAUUGUGUUAUUUGUAUAUUUUAAAUUAAAAAGAUAAUUGUUUUUAUUUUUGUUGGUUAAACCCUAACACAACUUUUCAAACAGCAGUAUUAUAUUAUAAUUUUUUUUAAAAAAAGAGAGAGAGAUAAUUACUUAACUAAAAUGACCACAUAAUUUUAAGGGUAUGAAAACUAGCAUAUACAAGUAUUAUAAAACAUACAAUACAUAAAAUGAUAUAUAUUUAUUGCUUUCACUUGAAGUAGUAAUUUGGAGAUAAAGUAUAGUAAUUCAGUAACAACACACAAAUACACUUCCACGUAACUUAAUUAAUUAGCAUAUACGUGUUUUAGGUAUAAGAUUGGGAGUUUGAAUAAUCUCUCCUAUCCUACCAUAAAAAACAAUUUUAUAAAAAAGAAAUGAAUUUUGACAUUGAUAAAGUGAAUAAAGUUAAUAAUGAUAAACAAACAUAAAUAGUGGUUUUGUUAUUAAUGAAAAUAAAUAGUAGGUGUUGUUAGGUAAAAUGGAAAAAGCGAUUUGAUGAGCCAACUAAUCCACUUUAACAGGGCCAUAAGCAUAACUCCAUGGAGCCCAAAUUUCAUAUUAUAAAAUCCACUUUUAUAAGAAUUAAAUUCUUAUGUUUAUUUGGUUCUAAUAAACCUUUAAAAUAUCAAUUUUUUUUAUUUCAUGCAAAUAUCCAUACAAAUUUUAAAAAAUUGUUAUUAUUAGUUAAGUUAAUUAUAAUUGACCUAUAAUCUUGAUUUAUAUAAAGUAAAUUGUAUUGUUGUGAAAAUUCAAUAGAAAAAUAUAUGAUCUUUUGAAAUUAAGAUUUUGUUUAGAAACAACUUUUAUUGUACUUCAUAGCUACUUACUCGUCGUUAAAAAAACCAAAAACUAAAAAAAUAUCAAAUUGAGAUACUAAAUUUGGAGUCUAUGGAAAUCUCAAAAUUAGGAUGGUCCUAAGUUUUGUUUCAAAAUUUAAUACUCAUCUUAUAAAAUAAACUAAAGAAGUAAAGACAUACAAUGAACUGAAAGUUAGUUUUGGAAUAUAUGAAUAAUUAAUCAAUAAAAAAGUUCAAAAAAUUUGGGUAAGUUAUUGGUUUAAUUAAUUGAGAUUGUUUUGUGUGAUAACUUUCAGUGAAAUUUAAGCAAUAUCCCAAUUAUAAUUAGCAAUAUCCCAAUUAUAAUUUGGGCCCCUCUCCUAACAAUCUCCUUAUCUCUUAGGACAAUUACUAUAUUAUUAUUAUCAAUAAUAAAUUGGAAUAGUAAGGAUAAAGAUUUCAGGGAUCAUUUUCAAAACUAACUUUUCUUUUUAAUUUUUAGUAAAUAACAUUUUUUUUUUUGCAAAAAUACUCACAUUCGUAAUUAUUUCAUCUCUAUAUCAUAAUUAACUUUUGUUAUGCAUUCCGAGUUUUUAACUAUUUUCAAAAACAAAUAUAGCAACCUUCCUUUUGUUUGUUCGGUAGACUCAACUAAUUGAUUCAACGUUUUAAGAAUUUUAUUAUUCAAUUUUAUUAAUUUUAAAAUAACAAAUUUGGACUUAAAUAUUAAAAUAACUCAAUUUAAUUUCAAAAUAACAAAAUUAUUAUUUUUUAAAAUCGGAGAAUCUCAACGAUAUAUUUUAUAUCAAAAUAACUUUAAUUGAAUUCCAAAAUAACAAAAUUAUUAAUUUUUAAAAUUGAAGAAUUUCAACAUGCACAUCGUAUUAAGAUUUGUAACGCCCCACACGUCCAGGAUUCGAAAUUCGAAAGCCACCCAACAUAGAAUUACUCCAAGCUAAGCACACUUAACUUUGAAGUUUCUAUUAUAGAACCACUAAAAAGGAAGGUGCACCUUGUUAGUAUAGGUAUUAAUUUUCAAUUCUUUUUAAAUCUUUCUUAACAUUAUUUUCAUGUCUUUAGAAUCUCUUUAAUUCAGGUGUGAUAUCGGUUCAUUUAUGUCACCCUCCUAAUCUCGGACAUUACAUUAAUUAUAUUGGAGUUUGUCUGCUUUAAGGUUGAAAGAUUAGGAUUUGCUCGCUAAAAGAAGAUGGAAUUGAAAAAUAAAAAUGAAAAAAUGGAGACGAAGGAAGAUGGAGAAUCGUAGAAUGGAAGUUGGAGAAUCGAAAAACAAAAAUAGAAAAUGAAGAUCGCAACAAGUUUGAAAAGUUAAGAUGAAAUGUUAUGAUUUUGAUUGGACAGAGUAUGUAGCUUAGUAUGUAGCUUUAAUUAUAUUACUAACAUUUGUUAAAGUGUAUUUAUUUUAUUUUAGCUUAACAAUAUAGCUUACACCCUAUCCAUACGGAUAUUUUGAGUUUUUCCAAAUUCUUAUUUUUUUUUAUUGUGCCAUUUUUAAAAGAAAAAUAUUGAUUUUGAAAAAUGAUAACUUUACAAGUGUUAUGCUCCUAGUCGACCCUAAAAAAAUAUUAUAGGUCUAUGUAUAUUUUGGAGUCAUUUUAACAUGAUUAAAACACAUUCCUAUCGAAUAUUGAAAUUUAUUUUAAUGUAUUUGAUAUAAAAUAUGGAGCAUGCACCUAUAUUUUAAGAAUAUAUUGUAUGUUUGAAUAAUUAAUUUCUCAAACAAAAAAUAUAUGUUAUUACUAGUAAUGGGACAAUUCUAAAAAAAAUACACUCUUUUCUUCUAUUUUAUCACGAAGCUUUUGUAAAAAUAGCAAAAAAAAAAAAAAAAAUGAUAAUUGAAUUUAUGUCAUGACAUUUUCUAAAUUUGCAAAAUGAUGUCUAUCUGAUAGUUUUAUGAUUACCGUCUGAUAGUUCUGCGAUAACUUUAUAAUUAUCGUAUGAUAUCAUUAAUUUUGCUAUAUUUACACUAUGCAAAAAUAUAGAAAAAAAAAUUGGUAGCAUAAGCUGUUUCUUUUAAAAAUAUUUGAGCCGUUUGAUGCAAUUUUUCUUUUAUUAUAGUACUCUAAUUCUUUUCACUUUAUUUGUAUAGAAUUUUGACAUUAACAAUGAAAAUGUAUUGAUAUUUUUGUUAUAAAAUUUUUCUAAUAUCCCUACAAUUGGUAUUAAUUAUAGACUAGCUGCAUGAACUUUUUUUUAGUCGAAAUUGAACGUAAAAAAAUGACAAGAAGCUUAUAACCAUCUAAUUAAGUACUUAAAAGACAACACAAUUGACUAUUUUCUUUUUCUUUUUCUCUACACAAUCAUCAAAACUUGAGAAUAGUAACAACACAACAUUCAUUCAUUACCAACCUAUGUCAAACCACAAUUACACAUGCCAACUCAAAGUACAUGAAAACGUUAAUAUAAAUAUCACUAGCAAAUAUAACCAUGCUAGUACAAUGUAAACGAUUUUAUAUAUCAUCACUAGUCUGCAUCUACCAAUACCAAAUUUCGUUAUAUAAUUUUUAAAAUUCUUUAAGAAAGCUUGUUAUACACUUAAUUAUUAUCUCUAUACUAGAUGUUCGUUGGCGUCCAAUAUUAAAAAAAUGUAGUUCCACUAUCUCACAAUUUUAAAAAUUAGAGAAGAAUGCACACAAUAAAGUACUCAAUUGAUAUACAAGUGUAAGAGUAACGGUUAAAUACCCCUAAAAAUAAGAAUAACCAAUAGAAUAAUUUGUAUUGAACAAAAACAUAGACAAAAAUGAAUGUAGAUUAUAAAAAUGAGAAUAAGCAACCGAAUAGUAUAAACUUGACUCAACCUUGACAUAUGUAUAAACAAAUCUAAUCUACCAUGAUGAGAGGAAAACACAAAGUUUCUUUUGUUGGAAUUUAAAAUCAAUUAGCACCUUUUGGUCUCUCUCAAUAUAGAAAUGUGCCUUUUUUCCCCUCCUCUUUUUAACGCUCCUACCCCUUAAAAAAACAAAAAGGUUCUACAAAAGUAGCUUCAAAGUAAAAGGAAAAAAAAAAACGAUAUAUAGAUACUUUAUAUUUUAAAAUUAGAGAAAUUUAAUUAUAUUUAAAAGGUAGAUUAAUGAAUUUAAUUAAUAUUUGUUGUGUUUGUAUUAUGGUUUGGACCCUUCAAAUCAUUUUUGUGAGAAAAGGAACCUUCUUCCCCCCCCUUUUUAUCUCUCUAUAAAAACUCCAAUUAAGCAAUCAAUUAUGAUCCAAAUACUAUAUCAUAACUAACACAAACAUUCCCUAAAAUAAUCACACUCACACACCUUCCAUUUUUAUUUUACUUUUCUUCAUGAUGGAUGAAAAGAGAUCAGAAGAUGGCAAAAAAUUAGAGAAAUUUGAGAUUUUACUAUCCACUUUGGAGUUAAGGUUGCCGUUGCCGUUGCCAAGUUUUUGUUGUUUAGGUGACAAGGAAAAGGAAGUGGAUCGGGGCGAUGAUUUGAUGAAGACUCCGAGAUCUUUGGAACCUACUUCGGUUGUUCUUCAGUGUCCGCCGCCGCCCAGAAAACCCAGGAGGUUCCCGUCGGCGGCAAAACGGAAGGCCGGUGGCGGUGGUGGGCGGUCCAUUUUGAUGUCGCAUGAUUAUUUCUUCCGCGACGUGGAAUUGGAUUGGUUGUUUCCGUCGAAUGUAGUCGGCGGUAAGAUUGUUAAGAAAAUUAAAGGAGCAGAAUAAUUGUUUAAGGGAUGUAAUGUCAGUUUAAAUAUUAAAAUGUAUGAGUUUUCCCUCUCUCCCUCUCUUUCUCCUUUGAAGUUUAUAGAUAAAUCAAUUUAUCUUUCUUUUUUUACACCUAUAUAUUGCUUCUUUUAAAAUUUAUGUUCAAUGUAAUGAUGUGACACUGGAAACAUAAUUUACCCUAUCAAUUUAUUUUAUUAAUUUAAGUUAUUUUUGUAAAAAAUUUAAAUUAGUCUAGGAUGUUUAAGGUAUGGUUAGUUAAGUUGAAUUCAAUAAUAAAGAUAUGUAUUUUUAUAGAAUAAAUCGAUGGUAAGAGAUUUGAAUAUAAAACCUCUUAUGUUCGGUUGAGUUAAGUAGCUUUCGUUGACUUUUGUUUUGAUGAAUUAACUCUUGAUUCAUGUGAUAAACUAAAGUGAUUAUUUCAAUUACUAUUCACUUUAACAAGUCUACGUGUAGAUAAUUUAAAAUAAAGAUGAAAAAAAAUGAAAAAAUGGAGAUAGUUCAAAAUUCAAAAUAAUGGAAUAUAAGUGGGCUUCUACUCUUGAUCCAUUGGAUCUUGGCCUGAUGCAUUAGUUAUAUGGGCCCUUCAAAUCACGUGUAAGUCCACAUGAACGGUCUAGAUUAGAUGACGACGAGACGACCCAUUAACGAAAAAACAUUAAAUUUAUGUAACUACUAUCCAAUUGAAUAUUACAACUUCGUUCUUUAUCGAGAAAAAUUGGAAAAACUACAGUAAUAACUAAAUCUUAAGUAUACUCAAAUUUAGAUCUACCUACCAGUAUAUAUUAGUGAUAGGCUAUAUUGAAUUUAUCGCUAUAAACUAUAUUAGUACUAAAGUUUAACCAAUAAAAUUUUAGUUAUAUUUGUGUGUGUUUUAUUUUAAAUAUUGUUAUAUUACAUACCCUAAAUCAUUGUAACAAUGAAUGAUUUAAAGAGAAGUUUUUCAUUCAAAAUAAUUAUUUUUUCUUUUUAGUUAAAUUUAUAAAAUAUGUGUUUGAACUUUGAAAAACUCUAAGAAAAUAGUUUAAAACAUUUUUAUAGUCAGCCAUUUGUUAAUAAAAAUUGUUAAUAAUGUUAUAAAAUGUAUUUUAAUAAUAUAAAACAAUUAUUAUUGUAAAAAUCCAAUGUUCAAAUUCGUGCCUCAAUCUCACCAAAGAAAUGGAGAAAUUUUUUGGGGAUGGAGAUGGAGAAGUUGUCAUUGAUCUCGUUUUAUCUUAUUGACACCUUCAAGUGUUAAGGAAGUUUUGAAAAAUUUUAGAAAACGUAGAGAAUGAGGUAUAAAUGAUUUAUGUAUCUAAAAAAAAGUAUUUUUGAUUUAUUGUUAUUAAUUUUUAUAAUUUUUGUUUAAGAGUAUUUGUGGAAUUAAAGAAAGUAAUACUUUUUCCCUAUAAAAAAAUUGGUUUUUAUUUAUUUAUUUAUAAAGGUUAACGGUAAUUUUGGGGCUAAUAGAAAGUUAGGGUAUUUUCUGUAAAUUAUAUAUAUAUAUAUAUAUAUAUAUUUUAUAUAUUUUUUUUUUAUGUAUUUUUUCUAAUGCAAUAAUCUUAUACUUUACCUGUUCUUCAAGCCAAUUCUCCUUCUCCUUCACACUCGAACUUUCGAUUUCUCUCUAUCGUCUCUCAACUUUCUCUCCGUCUCCGAUCGCCGAAGAUCUCUCCUUCUCCGAUUUCGUUGUUCCCUCUCACUCUUGCCUGUUCUUCAAGUGUGAGGUAUGUACAUUUCUAUUUUUUUUUUCCCUUCCAGUUCAAGGGUUUGAGAGAUGAAGAAGGAAUUUUGGUUCUGUCAUGAUAUGUGAGGUUAAAAGGGUUUCUUGUUUUUCGAUUUUCGGUUUCUCUUUUACUUUUUUGCUUCAGAUUUUUGUUUGUUCUCUGCAAUUUCUCUCCUGGGGUUACUUGUUUUUGUAAUUUCUUGUUUUGUGAUCUAGGUUUUUAGUUUUCUGAAUAUGCAAACUUAUGGUUCUUUUGUUUCUCCUCUCUAUUGCUUGAGAUUCUAGUUGGGUUUCUCUGAAAUCGUUAGUUCUGAAUUCUUUAAUCUCAUAUUUUUAUCCUUCUGAGUAGAAUGAACCAGUGGAACCAAGAUCUUGAUAUAGAAGGACUAGGAAGCUUUGUGUUUCGGUUACUUUCCAAUAUUUUUCUCCACAUUUGAAUGAAAUAUUGAUGUCUUAGCUGGGUUAGAAGUGAUAGUCUAAUGCAGUACUUUGUAGUUAUUUGACAAGAAGUAACUUUUGGGUGUUUUGCUUUUGCUGUCUAAAUAAAAUUUUCAUGUCGUUCAGUGACUUACUUCUGUAGGUUUCAAAUCUGUAACUAUGUCGACAUCUUACCUACCUGCCACUACUGAAUCAAUUUCUGAGGCAUUAGAGGCUAAGAAUUCAUCAGAUUCUAUCUCAAUCCUUUACCGUGUUCUUGAAAACCCUUCAUCUUCCCCUGAGGCUCUACGGAUAAAGGAACAGGCUAUAACAAAUCUUUCGGAUCUUCUCACACAGGAGAAUCGUGCAGAGGAUCUUCGGAACCUUUUGACUCAACUUAGGCCUUUCUUUAACUUGAUUCCAAAAGCAAAAACAGCAAAAAUUGUUCGAGGAAUCAUCGAUGCUGUGGCUAAAAUACCAAACACAUCUGAUCUGCAGAUUUCCCUGUGUAAGGAAAUGGUGCAGUGGACACGUGCAGAGAAGCGAACGUUUCUUCGGCAACGGGUUGAGGCCAGGCUUGCAGCUCUUUUGAUGGAAAAUAAGGAGUACCCUGAAGCCUUAAAUCUCCUGACUGGAUUAAUCAAGGAAGUGAGAAGACUUGAUGAUAAGCUCCUCCUUGUAGACAUAGAUCUCUUGGAGAGCAAACUCCAUUUUUCUCUGAGGAACCUCCCUAAAGCGAAGGCUGCACUUACUGCUGCAAGAACAGCUGCUAAUGCCAUAUAUGUUCCUCCAGCACAGCAGGGAACUAUUGACUUGCAGAGUGGCAUCCUUCACGCGGAAGAGAAAGAUUACAAAACUGCUUACAGUUAUUUCUUUGAAGCAUUUGAAGCCUUCAAUGCUCUUGAAGAUCCCCGUGCUGUAUUUAGCCUCAAAUAUAUGUUACUAUGCAAAAUAAUGGUUAACCAGGCUGACGACGUGGCAGGAACAGUAUUAUCAAAAGCAGGUCUACAAUAUCAGGGGAAUGAGCUGGAUGCCAUGAAGGCUGUAGCUGAUGCACAUUCCAAGCGUUCGUUAAAGCUUUUUGAGACAGCACUUCGAGAUUAUAAGGCUCAACUUGAGGAAGACCCUAUUGUCCACAGGCAUCUCUCUUCUCUCUAUGACACUUUGUUGGAGCAAAAUCUUUGCAGGUUGAUCGAACCAUUCUCAAGAGUAGAGAUUGCUCAUAUCGCGGAACUGAUCGAAUUGCCCUUGGAUCACGUGGAAAAGAAGUUGUCUCAGAUGAUUCUAGACAAAAAGUUUGCAGGGACUCUAGAUCAAGGUGCUGGAUGCCUAAUCAUUUUUGACGACCCGAAGACCGAUGCCAUAUAUCCAGCCACACUGGAAACCAUUUCCAACAUUGGCAAGGUUGUGGAUAGCCUCUAUAUUAGGUCAGCAAAGAUAAUGGCUUAAGGUUAUCGGCAUUGGACCAACCUACUGUAGUUUUGGACUUCGCUUGCCUUGGUAUGGGGCUGCGUUGUUUUUUAUGGUUCAUCUGCUUUACUCUUGAAUGAUUCCUUAUGAACUUCUAUUUUGUGUUUUAAAAAGUUUAGUUUGAAGUUUUAGCCGCAGGUCUUUAUGGAGAAAGAAUGUUUAGGCUAUUUUACCAUUCUUCGGAUACAGGUACAUAUUGGAUUUUCAGGUUACUUGUUGAUCUGCAGUAAUCUCUUCUGAGUUGAACUUGAAACUUGAAACUUGAAAGUACGGACUAAUCAUAUUCCAGUUAUUUGAUGAAAAGGGAAGUGUGUCUUGUAACCAUGAUUCAACCACCUUUCUUAUGACUUGGUGAUUAUCACAUAUUCAUUCUCUUCAAAUUAUCACCCCUGUCUUGGAUUGGGAAGGUGUGAUCUAAGCUUUCAACUUUAUUAAAUUGCUCAUAGAACUUAUAUAAGCCAUUUUUUUAAUGUUUGGAUUUAAAUCGUUGAGAACAUAGGUAUUUUGACGUGCGUUCAAUGCUCUUUUCAGAAAGAACAUACUCUUAUUUUGUUAGGGGAACAGAAGGGAGAGUGGGUCAGGUUUUAAGCUCGGUAGCAAGCGACCGAGUCGAGAGAGGGCUUCAACUGCAAGAUUUCAUUUUCUUUGUCUUUCCUUUUCUAGUAAGAUUUCAAUACUAUUCUUCCAAGAUCUUUAAUCCUCAUGUUUGUCACAAGACGAAUAUAGGUAGGCAAAUCCUAAAUAACAUGUAUGGUACCAAUUUGAUAAAACUCAAGAAAGAAAAUGGGAUCAAUCUUCCAUAUCUAUUGAAUUUUGUGUGUUUUAGACGGGUUAUGAAAUGGUUUAUUUUUUAUUUUUCUCAUAACGUUCUUAAUUUAUGAACAAUAGAAGUAUUUUUGAAAAAAUUUAAGAAAGUGAGUGUGUGGUGUAGGAAUUUGAACUUGUAGAUUUUGAAACAAGUUGUGGAUGUCUAACCAGUCAAGCUUUAAAUCAAUAUUUAACUUUUCUUAUUUUAGUUUCGUAACAUUAAGAAAGAGCUGCUAUGUCUUUUCUUUACAUAAUUUUUGUUAAUAUGCUUAGAAUUAGGGACCAAUUAAAAUUUAAAAAAGUAAUAAAAACAAGAUUAGUAAUUAACAAAGGUUGUAUUAGGUGACUAUCUCUCUCUUUCUCUUAAAACUAACCGUUUUUUUUCUGUCGGUUGUUUGCAUUUUCUUAAAUUCAAAUGUUUAAAUUUUAGUUAAAUUCAAAAGACAACUAAUUUUAAAAUCUAUUUUUUCUAGUUUUUAAAUUUUAGUUUGGUUUUUAAAAACAUAGGUAAAAGAAAAAGUUGAUGGCAAAUUUAGGGGUGAAAUAAGUGUUUAUAUACUUACUUUCAAAUAUUGAAAAGAAAAAAAAGUUAAGGUUUUGUUUGGUAGAUAUUUUAUUUUUAAAUUCUUGGUUUCUCGAAAUUAAGUCUAUUUUCUCACAAUUUCUUAUAAUUAUUUGUAUUUUAUUUACGCAUUACUAUUCUUAAUUCAACUUCAAAAACAAAAUUUAGUUUUAAAAACGUUCUUUCUAAAUAUAGAAAAUAAAAUAUUUACACUAUAUAAUAAUUUUGGAAAAGGAAAAAGUCCACAGCCCAAAAAGCUCAAAGUUCAAUAUGUGAAAUACCUCCGGCCAUCAAGCUAUGCGAAUUGUUUUCUUCGUCGAUAAUGUCUAUGAAAUAGAUAGUGAUAGUUGUGUGUUCUUUUUUUUUUUUUUUUUUUGUUAUUUUUGUCUAUCACUACAGGUAGUUUGUGUCCUUUCACAUGUUUUUGUGCUUCUUUUAAUUCUAUUGAAGAUUGAUCCUACCAAUUUUUAAAAAUUAUCAACUCAAGAUCACAAUAAAUCAUAAAGUAUCAUUCAUAACUUUUAAUGUCAAUCUAUUUGUAUACGUGUGUUUACACGAGAUUUCGAAGAUUUCGAAGAAAUGUAUUUUGUGGAAUUGAACUUUGUAUAUUAAUAAAUGUAGCAGAUACAAUCUCUAGUAUUUACUCAUUUGAUGAUUUCUCUUGAAUACAAUUUAAAACUUAUAACUUUUUUAUUUUCGAUCUUUAGGAUGUUGUAGUUGCAAGUCGAUUUGAACUUCAAUCUUCUGGAAUCCAAGAAAAUUUUAGUCUUCAAAGUCUUCAAUCUUUCAGAAGUUGUUGAUCUCGAGCUUGAAGUUUGAAUCUUCAAUUCCUCUUAGAGAAGUUGAUCUCGAGCUUGAAGUUUGAAUCUUCAAUUCCUCGGAGCUUUAAUAGUUCAGAGCUUUAGUUUUUUCUUCAACCAAAGACCCCCUCAAAAUGAGAGGGAAAGGUCUCUAUUUAUAGAGAAAUUUAACGGGCUUUAGGUGGGCUUGAGUUCAUUUGCUUGUUGGGCUUGAACUUGAAUCCAUUUGGGAGUUAAAUUUGGACUUGAGCCAAUCUAUUUCUUGGACUUGGGCUUGAAUCCAUUUAUUUGUUGGACCUCAAUUGGGUUGGGUUGAGUAAACUUAAUUAUUCAAACUACAAAAGUAUAAUCAUCACCAUAUUUACUGUAAUUAUGUGGCAUAAUUUAAUUGGUUAAAAUGUAUUGCAAGUGUAUUAGAAUGUAAAAGAUUGAUUAUAUCUUUUGAUUAUUUAGUUUAAUUUUGCAAGUUCUACUAUUGUGAUCUUUAUGGUUAUAAUCUUCCCAAAGAUAUGGGUAAAUAAAGGUAAAAUCGACCGUGAACAAGAAAUCCAAAAAAUUGGGCUUAUUUGCAAUUGUGCAUAGUCCUUAAGCCCAAUAUGAAUCUUCACUCGAGCAUUGAACAUAAAUAUUCAUUCAAAUUCCUCUAGUUCAAAAGCAGAGAUCCUUCAUUUAAUAAAACUAGGGUCUUUAACUAAGUUACCUAAAAUUAUAUACCAUAUUAUACUAUAUUACAACAUUGGUCCAAAAUUUUCAAAACUUUUUUUUUAAAUUGAUUAAUAUUUUACACAAAUAUAUGACCAAAAAAUGACCAACUUAUCUAUCUUUAUUAUUAAUAAUAUAUUAAAAAAUAGAAAAAUAAAAAAGAAUGGACCACUUGAGAGUAAUGUAUUAUUAUUAAAAAUAGUACCAAUUUGAUAAUUAAAAAUAUUAUUACUAUGUAAAUAAUAAUUUAUACCAUACUUAAAUUAUUGCAAAGUGAUAAAUGUUUCAUUAAUAAAUACAAAUAUAUAUGUAUUAACAAUUAAAAAAGUUACCAAUGAUAUAAUAAAUAUGAUACUCGAUAAUUAAUAAAAAUAUUGUUUAAGAUUUUUGAAAGCCAUUAUUAUUAAAUAAUUAUACGAAGGUUAAAAUUGUUCUAAAAUAUCUCAAUUUAUUACCUAAGAUAAUAAUUGAAAAUUUAGGACAUUUGUGAAAUAUCGAGGGAAAAAAGCCUGAUUUCUCUAAAUCUUUCCUAAGAUUAUAGUAACCACUUAUUUUUAGCUAAGUAAACAGUAUUUUCUAGAACUUUCAAUUUUCUACAAUAGUUACUAUUUACUACAAUUGUUAUUGUUUUAUAUUUAUCAUAUUUUAAAUAAUUUGUUGUGCUAUAUUUAUUAUUUCCUCCUUAUUAAAUAAUAAAUAAGAAAGUCAUCUCCGACCUGGUUCCACUUCAUGAGCAUUUAUUUAUAUUCACAAAAAAUCACAAUGGAACAUGUUCAACUCAAAAGAAAAAUUUGUGAAAUUAGAAGGGACUUUGAGUUGUGAAGAUAUGAGUAACAGUGUUGGAAUCACAGGAAAGAAAAGAAGGACAAGGAAAGUUGAAGUAAAAAGAUAAUGAGAUCCCAAAUAUUUGUAGUUAUGGAGCUGGAAAGAAAUGAUUAAUGAUAUGAAUGAGGAUGUAAGAAAUAGAGAAAAUGGUAGAAACAAGAGCACCUUAGUAACUUCAAGUUGUACCCUUCCUUCCCUCUAUGCUCAAUCUCCCCGAUCAUCAUGGGGUAGAGGUGAAACCCACUUUAACUCAAUCUUUCCCAUUCUACCCCUCAAAAUUCUUCAUCGUCCUUAAGGGUAAAACCGACAAUUCCAGGGAGACAGCUUCUGAAAUUUGGGCUUUCCUUUUUUCAACAAUAUUAUGCCUAAACCAUAAACAAACGAUUCCUCUAUUAAUUACUACACACACACACACACAUAUAUAUAUACACUUUUAUUUGUAUUUAAUUAUUUAUCUACAGACUUUGAGUGUGGUGUAGAUUCUCUAAUUUCUUUUUAUAAUCUCAUCUUACUAUUUUAUCCUAUUUUUAUUUUAGUUUUAUUUUAAUUUGAUUGUUUACUAAAUAUGCAAAAAUAUGAAAUCUAGACUCAAAGUGUAAGCUAUAUGGAUUUGUUGUGCCUUUAUUACUCUAUUAGUUUUCAAAAUUAUAUUGUAGUGAACAAAUUUUCAUUUAUUUUAAUGGUCCAAGAGGAUGGAUGGAAUCAAAGACAAAGAGGGACCAAAGUGAAAUUAGAAAGAAAGCUAAGGAAUCAAAAAAAGAAAGAAAGAAAGAAAGAAAGAAAGAAAGCUUCCAAUUCCAAAAUGAUAAUAAUCCUAAACCCUUCCACUCUUUUUUGACUGAUUUGGAAUGUUUGGACCCCAAACUCCAUGAAAGAAAACUCAAAUGAAUUAAUACACAAGAAAAAUGGUUUCUUCUUCUUCUUCUUUUUUCCCCAUUGCUUUCUUCCCCUCAUCUGUUCAUCCAAACCCCAGUUUGAUUUCCUUUUCAUUUACUAAAGAAAAUGACAACUCCUCUGUCUCAAACCAAAUCUGAUUCUUGAGGUGACUUCCUUUACUCAAGUGGGGUUUUCAGAGUUUCUUCUAAGCAUUUCAUCAAGUACUUGGUGGGCAAUCACACACAUGGCUCAACAGGUAUUUCAUUUGUUUCCUUUUUCACUUUCAUUUGGAUUUUCCUUCCCCAUUCAUUCUAAUGCCCAUUUCUGAUAUGGGUCUUGUCUUGUCUUGUCUCUGUUUUCCCCCCCAUUAUUUCUCUGAUGUUUUCUUCAUUUUUUGGUGGGUUGUUUCAUUGUCUAUGUUUUUUCCACUUUUCCUUUAUCGGAUUGCUGUUUGUAUUUUUCUUUUUCUUUUAAUUUACUUUCUUGUUGAUUUGAUUGAAGGGUGAUGGAUGGCCUCUUGGUCUACAGCCUCUGAAUGUAAGAGUUGGGGUACCUGGAAAUCGUGACUAUUUGGGAUCAGUGUCUUUCAAUACUUUGAUGACUGCUUCUCCUAUUUCUUUCUCUGAUUCUUCAUCCGACUUGGACACUGAGGUCUGUAUUUGUUUUUUCUUCUUUUUGUUUAACUCAGAUUUUGAAUGAUAAAUGUCUUCUCUUGGUGUGUUUUUUGGGAAUGUGUUACCUCAUGGUUUAGUUUUGUUCUUUGCGUUUGGUUCCUUUUAAUCUACAUAGUUUUGGGAGUAAUGCAGAUGGAGAUUGGUCUUUUUUGUUUCUUGUUUGUUAAUUAAUCAAUGUUUGAGAGUAAUGCAGAUGGUGAUUAGUCUCUUUUUUUUUUUUUUGUGGCAGUGGCAACCAAGUGAUUGGUUUUUGUUAGCUAAUUAAUCCCAAUGUUUGUGAUAUUUGCUGAGUACCUGCAUACUAUUAUUAUUAUUGUCUUUUAUAUCCUUGACCAUUCAUAGGACAACAGUCUCAUCUUAAUAGUACUACUUUCAAUCAAAAUAACUUGUAGGAUAUAAAAUUAUAAGUGAGUGAACUCAUUUACUCUUAACCCUUUAUUAUUUAGGUGGCCCAGUAAGUCCAAUUCAUGGUGGUUUAGUUUUGGGAUAUUAUUUUAGUGUCGUAAUGUUAAGAUAAGAGAUUUGAACUCAUUUCUGGCCCGAAUCAUAAAGUUUGUGGUGUGAGAUGUGCCACUUUUUGAAGUGAGAAAAACAAGAAUAAGGUAGAUGCAGAUGUAUCUCAUUUCUCAUGAAGUCUAUGUCCUUUUAACUCGUCAUUUUGUACCAAGAGUAUUGGAAGAGGAUAAUUGAAUGUAUAUACUUUCAUGUAUUGCAUUUUUAAGUUUGGGAUAAGCGUUUGAUUUCACUAGUAGCAAGAGGAAACAAAGGGAUCAACAACAACUGCAAGACAUGAUCCCUUGUAAUCUUUUGGACUUGGUGGUUUUUGCCCAUCCCAUCUGAUAGAUAUAAGUAAUGCUUAUGGAAUUUUGAUGCUGAAGAGUUAGUUCAUAUGCAUAUAUGCAUCUCAAUAGUUUAAAAGAAAACAUAGCAAUUUUUAUAACUUUAAAAUCAGAGACACAGACACGACUCAUGACUAUCGAUCUUAACUUUGCCAUGCGUUUCGUUAAUAUUGCAGUCAACAGGAUCUUUCUUCCAUGACAAGAGCAUCACACUUGGGAGUCUUAUAGGAGUUUCCAACAUUUUAGAACUCUCAAGAAGGUCAAUCAGGGGAAGAAGAACAGAGAGCACAAAGGACAAGAGAAGCAAUACCAAGUCUAGAACAUGGUUUUUCUCUUUGUGUUCUAGGGAGAGUACCGAUGCAGAUAGCAUCGAAAGUGGCCCGUCGUUAGGCCAUUUCUUGGCAGAAGAAAGAAGAGCAGCCGACGAAAAUCGGAGAAAUAAUCAGAGUGAAAUCAUGUAUGGAGCAGAUGAAUUAGAAUUAGCUCAGUUUGGUCCAGAGCCAAACUCCCUAUUCAUCAAUGGUUGUGUGGCACCUCCUCAACCUAGCAUUGGUUCAGAAACUGAAAAUGGUGGAACUGAGCCUACAAAUGACAAUAGAGUUGCACUGAUUUGUUCUUGCAUUUGUGGACACUAAACCUGAAUGUUGAACUUUCGGUGUGUUUAUGAUAUUGAUUGAAUUUCUUAUCUUUCAGAAACAGAUAAAGAUAUCAAUUUACAGUGACCCUUUUUCUCUUUCUUUCUUUCUCCAUUUAUUAAGCGGAAUUUGUGAAGUUUUCAUCUGCUUUUUUGUCAUUUUCUUCUUUAACUUGCUUUCAUUCCAUCAGUCUGAUCGUGUGAGGAUAGAGAUAUUUCUACCUUCCUUUGUGUACGUGUUAUUUUUCAAAUUUAGCUUGAGUUUUGAUAAGUUUUAAAGAUCAUAGAAUUACUAGACUCAAAAUUUAGAAGUUUAGAAUUCAUUAGACAUAAAUUCCUAAACUUAUAUCCUAGUAUAUUAGUUUAUGAAAUAUUUAAAUUUUGUAGAUUCAUUAAAUAAACACAAACUAUUCUUGAACAUUAACUAAAACUAUGUGCUUAUUAUGAGUGUCUCUUGUCACAUAAUUUUGAAAAUUAUUGAAACUAUAAUACGUUUUCUUCUACAGUAGAUUAUCAAAUCAUCUAACAGCCUUUUUCAUCCUUACAGAGUAGCAUGUCUGUGUGUAUAUAUUGCAUACUAUUGCAAAAAAAAAUUGUGAUAUUUUAUUAUUUUUCUAAAUAUUUUUUGUUUUAUUAAAGGGGUGUAAUAUUGAUAAAAUUUGUAUCUCUAUAUUUGGUAUGAGUUGACUAACAGUGUUUCUUACAAUUAAUUUAUUAGUUUUUUCAAAAAUAAAGUUUUGUUGAUGUACACUACAGCUCAUCUAUUACUAUGAUAUUUAUUUAAAGAUUCAAAUUUGUAAAGAAAGAUCUAAAAUUUUAUAAUUUGAUCUUAUAAUUUUGUUACACUAUCAAUCCAGGUGGGCAGUGACAGUGUCAGUCAAAGAUGAAAUCAUUUCCAUUUCUGUUCAUGCUAGCAAUUUUUCCUCUUUUUUUUUUAAUCUUUUCACAUUUAUGAGAAAUUAUUGUUUCACUAUCUCUGACUAUUUUUAUACUUUAGUUUUAUUGUUAUUAUUAUUUUGUAUACAUUUGAAUAAUCAUCAUACCCUGUGUUUGAGUUCUAACACUAAUUUCUAAACACUGUCUGUUUAACUUAAAAUACAAAUACAUGAUAUCAAUUACAUAAGAAUAUUACUCAAUUCAAUACAAAAAAUUAUAUCAAAAUAUUUAAAAGAAUAUCUAAAGUUAUCCAUUGAAUGAGAUCAAGCAGUCUUACCCUUUGUUUUUUUCUCUUUUUGUGAUUAAUAAUAAUUAUAUGUUUUUAAAAAUAUUAAUUUUACAAAGGUAUUUUAAAAUAGCUAGACAUGUAUGAAUGAUGUAGCCACGUUGACUAAAUCAACGUCCAUAAUCAAGUUAAUUUAUUCCAUAAUUUCAUGGUAAAAAGAGAGCUAAAAUAUUUGAAUAUAAUAUAGUAUCUAACUUUUUUAUCACUAUAACUCUAUAUAUUGAAAAAAGUUUAUUUAUUAGUUUUCAAACUUUUAAAGACAUAAAAAGUUUAUAGUUUAAAAAAAGUCAUUUUUAGUCCAUACGUUUAUAUAAAUAAAUCUAUUUGGUUAUUCGAUUUCCAAAAUUUACCUUUCUAAUACUUAAAAUUAUAUAAAAAAAAAACAAUUUUAAAGAAGGUAUGAUUUUUAAAAAUUUUAAAAUAUUUAUAAAAUACACGAAGGUAUUUAAGAGAAAAAUUAGGGAUGAAUUGAAUCUAAUCUAAUAAACUUAGAUAUGUUUGAAAAUUUAAGGAGUAGAACUGUAUAAGAGUAAUUUUUUCAAAUACAUAUUAUUGGCAUAUAUCCAUAUUUAUAUUAGGCAUAUAUUAAAUGUAUAGUUGGUAUAUCAACAUAAUCAAUAUCUUAUUCAAGUGUCAUUGCUUUCUUUCAAAAUGCCCAAUUAAGUAUAUAUCAUUGCUAUAUCCACAUCAAUAUCAAUUAUAGAAAUCAUGCAUUUAGAUUAUAAAAGACAAACCUUAAUUUCAUUUUAAAUAUAACCAUAUAAUUCAAUAAAUCAUAGUAAAUGUAUAAUAAACAAAAUCCUACUUCCUAUUAAUCUUUUCAACUUUUUACCAAUAGCCCUAUAAGUUAUAACAAAUUUCCACACACAAUCUUUUCAACUUUUUACUAUUAGCUCUAUAAGUUAUAACAAAUUUCCACACACAUAUAUAUGUUUGAAAAUACUUUGUAUUUAUAUAAUCACACAUUGAAUAAAUAAAAAAGGACAUUAGUUAUUUUAUUAUUUGGUUGAUAGGUUAGCCAUAGUUUAAAAAAUAACAUAAAAUGCAAUAACUCUUAUUUCUCUUCGAAUUACAACACAUUUCUGUCAAUUUUAAACUGAAUUCAACCAUUUGAUUGUUGAAAAAUGGAAUUAGAAUUGCAAUUUGGAUAUUUUAGGCUGUCUAAGCAAUUGUUUAUUAAAUAGUAGACGAAAUAAACUUAUUUUGUAACUUUUAAAAGGCAAAGAAAUGAAAGUGUGUUAUGUUGUCAAAUUCUAAUCACAUUUUAGACUUUACUUACGACAAAAAAAAAAAUCUUAAUUUAUUCAAUUCAUCAUAUUUUUAUUUGUCAACAUUUAAACUUUCAAUUCAACCUAACUUUGCUAUAAAAAUAAAUAAAUAAAUAAACGUAAUUUUAUUUACCUUUUUUACCUUUAUUUAGAAAGAGAAAAACAAUUGAUUUAAAUGGUUUAAUCUUUGUUAUUGAUGUAGCACAAAAAAUACUUAGAUCAAAUUCAUAUUCAUAACCAACCAAAGAAAAUUCAUCGUUAACGAGAGAACUCUGGUGAGAACAAAGUUACUAAGUAAAGAUACUAAUGGUGAAAAGACCUCGUAUGACCUCUCUAAUUAAAUUGGACUAUUCAUAUCCCACAAGAAAAUUACAUAAUUAACUAAUUAAUUCUAACUAAACACUAACAAAUCUAAAUUAACUACUUAAAUAAAAUAUUAAACUAUUGUGUAAUUAUCCUCAUCAUUCACCCCGACUUAAGGAAAGAAAAAAGUUCUCAUGCUCGAGUUCGAGGUGAUAAAGUGAAGCUUCUCUUCUUCAACCAAAUUCAAAUUGUAAUUAAAUUAAUGCUCCGUAAAAAUAUCUUUACUAAUAAUAAUAUUAAUAUGUGUUUGAAGUGAUUUUAACGAAGCUAAAAUAACGAUGUUUGACAAUAAAAUAAAAUUCACUUUAAAUUGUUUUUGAAAUUUGACUGGUUUUUUUUUGUUUUUUUGGUGGUUGUAAGGGAUUCAUCCAUAACACUUUUAAAAAUUAUUAAAAAUAAAUUAAUAAAAUUAGAUAUUUAUUAAAAAAGUUUCCACAAUCGUUGCACGACCAACUUUCGAUUACAUUUUUUUUUUGUUACUACUAGCAGCAAAUUUUCGACAGCCAUCACCAGCAAACUUUUGUCAACCAUUUUUUAAUGGUUGUCGUUGACUAGGUUCUAAUGAUAGUUCUAUUACGAUGGUCGCCAGUCAAUCUCUAAUCGUGUCUUUGUCUAUUGUUUUUCGACAACUGCUAAAGACUACUUUUUUUGCAGCUGCUUCCAACCAACCUCUAAUGACCUCUUUUUGAAAUCAUUGUCGAUCAAUUUUCAACAACUAUUUCUUUAUGACAGCUGUCGAAAAACUUCAUGCAACCAAUGCCGCCAACCUCAGAUCUUCAAACAUCACUACCGAUCAAUUUUGGACAAUCACAUUUCAACAACUGACAUCGUACAACUUCCAUAGAAUUAGAUAUUUAUUACCAAUAAAGUAAUAAAAUUAGAUAUUAUUAGAAUUUCAAGUAACCAUAUUCUCAAGAAUCGAUUUCGUCCAAUUGUGGACGAUCGUGUUUCAGUGACCAUCAUUAACCAACUUCAACAACCACUAGUGACACCUCUAAUCAUCAAUCAUUAUUUGAGUCACCACCACUCACCAGAUUUUAAAUAAAAAGAAAAAUUUAAAAUAAGUUAAUAAAAAAAUAUUUAUUAUAAUUAUUUGAUAAAAUAAAAUUUAAAUAUAAAACAUAAAUGGGUAAUUUUAAAAUUAUUUUUAGAACCCAACAUAAUUCAAAAUUAGUUAUAAGUAUUUAAAAAUCAUUUUUAAAAGUUUAGAAGCAAAGAAAAGUUAAAAGUUUGAUGAUUAUAAAAUAAUUUUUACAAAAUCAAUUUAUAUAUAAAUCUAUCAUUCCAAAAUCACACUCUCAAGUAUAUGAGACUAUUCUUGGUCUUGGAAGGAUAUAUGGAAAGGUCUCGAUAACAUUCUUUUUUUUUUUUAAAUCAUGAUUUAGUUUUGGGGUGAUGACUCAUUUUAUAUUUAUUUUGUAUUUUAAUCAAUAAGCCAAUAAUGUAAUGAUCAUAACUUCUAUUUGGCUUUCUGCACUCACCAAAAGAGAAAAAUAAAAAAUGAUUUGGCUCUUUUUAAAUAUAUAUAUGUGUGUGUGUAUUUAUUAGUAAAAGGGAAAAGGUUACGUAAUUAGUGUAACUAAAAUAAUUAGAAAGAGAGUUGUACGCCUCCCUUAACUCUUUCCUCCACGUCACUCCAGGUGUCUACAUCUCCUUACAACUACAAUUAUGGCGUCAUAAUAAUGAUAUACUAAUUUAAUACCAAUAAUUGAUUUAUUACAAAGACAGACACACCAUCACCUGAGACACCUCUCCCCUCCUCGCCCACACCCACACCCACACCCACCUCCCUCCAUUUUUUCUUUUAUUCAUUUAUAUCAUUUCUAUUUUUUUUAUCAUAUAUAUAUUUACAUACACCUUUUACUUUUUUUAGUAGACUACCAUAGUUAUAUGCCUUUACAAAAUUAACAAAAAAAAAAAAAAAUAAUAAUAAUAAUAAUAUAAUAAUCUAUUUCGUUGUAUAUAUCUAAUUAUUUGUCGUAAAAAAAAUGAAUUAUUUUUUUCAAAUUUUUGUUGUCAUAUGAUGCAAUAUUUUAUAGUUACUUGUAAAAGAUUCAAACAACUCAUACUCAUACAGUACCACUUGAUCAUUUUUAUUUUUACUACACUCCCAUCAAAACUUACCUUAUCUCACUCUUUGAUGUAUAACUAAGAUAGAAAGUAUCUCGAGUUCAAAUCCCUUCACCGUAAAAAAAUGUAAUUUUAGUUUAUAUAUUUAUAAUAUAAAGAGUUUCUCUAUAAUUAAUUCAAUCUUACUUAUACGUUGCAUUUUAAUUCCUACGAAACAAAAAUUAAAUGGUUAGAAUUAAUUUUGCAAAAUACAAAUACUAAUAUUGGGUUAAAUUUUAAAUUCAUUUUAAAGAAAUUGUUGACAAAAUAUUUACUUCCUAAAAAAUUGAGUAUAAUGGUUUCUUUUUUUUAUAUAUAAAAUGUAAAAAGUUCAUUUUUUAAUUAUUAUUUUAGAAAAAGAAUACCCUUCAUUUAAAUUAUAUUUUGAAUUAAAAAAUAUAUAGACUAAAUGAAAAAAUUGUUUUAAGAGGCUUGUUGAAAAUACUUAUCAAUAUAAUAAAUUUCCUUUUCUAUAUGUGAUAGAGUAUAAAAGUUUGGUUUGGUGUAUUUAUAAAUAUUUUCAAACCUUUUUUUUGUUUUCCUUUUGAGUCUCACUCACCACCGGUUCAACUCGGUCCUAAUAACCCCAUCCAUUCAAGAAUUUAGAUAUUUAUCAUUCUUUUUUAAUAAAUAAUCUCUCACUUUUUUUUUUCUUUGACUUCUUCAAUAUCAAUUUAAACAAAUCAUAUUACAACUAAACAUGACCCCACAAAUAUGAAAAGUCACCAACCCAACCCAUUUCUUUUCUUAAUAUCUCUUAUUUCCCAAUUCUACAAGCAACUUUCUUCUUCUUUUUUUUCUUUUUUGGUUUUCUUUUCCCAAUCUAUAUUAUAUUACGUAUUGAUAGAGGCCCGGCCGACAUUAAAAGUUUAAUUGAAACCUUUUUGAUUUGUUUGCAAAUGCGGGAAAAAAGGAUCUUGGUUGGUAAAAAAGAUGGUAUGAUUUGCCAUUUCCACACCUAUUAACCAAGCUUAUCAACUGACUGAUUCUCUUCCGCAGCUAUCCGUCCAGAGUUCCGGCCACCGCCGAUCUUCCCAAAAGAGGUCAUUGACGACAACCCCUUGAAGCUGCUACUGCCACCUUCGCUGAAGUUGUGGGACUUUCUUCCCUUUCUCUGCUUGGAGUUAAUAGCUUCAUGGUCAUCUACUUCUUCCCUUUUGGUCUUUGCGACAACCAAAUGAAGAAUGUUGCUUCGACAGAACGGGCAAACCGGUGGCGUCAGGCAUGCCGUGGUUGGGUUCGGUUUACUGUGGCAACAAAGGGAAAGAGUGCAUUGAGCACACAUGACAUGGCCACAGUUUUGGACUUCAAUUGUGGAAGCUUGUUCAAAGCAAAUGGAGCAUAAUUCUGUAUCUUCAUCACUAAUCUGCAAAGAAGCCAAGUUUCCCAAUACAUAAAAGGGAUCUCAAAAGCACUUGAAAAUUCUCAACUAAUCAAUGGGAUGACAGACCCAUACCGAAGACCUAAAGCAGAAAAGCUAAUCAUUUUUUAAAAAUCUGAGAAAAGUGAAGAGAAUUGAUAAUUGAAAUUGCAGAUAUUGGGACCAUUCAUCACGUGUCUUCUAAGAGCCUAAGUUGAAAAAAAGCUCUCUAAGAAACAAAUGACAAGUCUACAUUACAUCAGAGAUGCUUUCAGACGUAAAGUGAAUACCUCCAAAUUGGGAAAGCAAUGCCACUAAUAGUGUGGAAGGACAAAACCUUCAAAACCAUCAAUAUCUUAUCAAUCCCCAUAACUUUGUUUCUUUACCUAUGAUUCUUAACUCGAAAAUUUUUUGGAUUUAAACGCAAAACUUCAUAACGUCGAGUCAAAGAGAGUCAUGAGUCAUGACUUUUCAAAUACCGAAUGGCUGCCGUGUUUGAAAUCCACUUUAAAAGUUAAAGACAUUCUUUAAUGACAAAGGAAAUUCUUGAUUACCUCAGACAAAUUGUCAUCCACUGCAUCGGAAUGCGAUGGAGAGGGUAGUCCAGGAGAAUUUGUCUUCAAGAUGUUCUUCUCUCUCUCCCUGUUGGCUUCCAUUAGAGCCUGUUCUAAUAAAGCUUUUGCUUCUUGAUUAAGCUCAUUGAUAAAUUUCAAGGGUGAUGGCCAAACAAGUGGCUCUGUGGAUGAAGGAUUCAGCAAGGCUGCACAAGUUCCAUGUCUGUGCUUCAUAGCAAUUACAUAGGGAAUUCUCCUGUACACAGAAAAAGUGAUAAUCCUGGCCUUAAUUACCUGAUUCAUAUGCAAUUAGAACUAGUUUAUGAUGUAAAUUAGUAUGUUCUAAUACCCGGUGGAAUCUCUCUGAAGACGAUCCGCCCCCCAAGCUAACAAUUCCCUGAUGCAAUCCAAGGAACCCCCACGAGCUGCCAAAUGAAGAGGUGUACUUCCUUGGCAUCUGUUCAUAGAAAUUUGUCAAAUUCAACUCAAAACAAAAGAAAGUUGAAGAAUACUUGAUAUAGAAAAAUACCCAUAUCCACCCGUUGAAGCACUAACAAGAGCUCCAUUAUCCAACAGAAUAUGAAUACAUUCAGGUCGUCUUUGACGAGCUGCUAAGUGUAAAGGGGUUGCUCCUUUACCAUCUCUAAUAUUCACAAAUCGUACAAAUCCCCUAUUGACCAAUAAGUUAACCAAUGAUUCUAGAAUGAAAAGUUAAUGAGUAUUUGUUAAAAGGGAGCGAUCAGCAACAAAUACCAGGAAGCAGCAACGGGGCUUGAUUGAGCUGCAGAAAGAAUGACUUCUAAACAAUCAAAAUGGCCAUAAUAAGCAGCAUAAUGCAAGCAAGUUCUCCCGUGAAGAGAAUCAAACUUCAAAAUCUGAAAAAAUUUAUACCCAGAUUAGUAUAUUUCAAAUCAUUGGUUGUGAAAAGUAAAAGGAAUAGAAUCAAGAUAUGGGAUUCGAUCGAUUCUAUACAUUUGCUCCAACUUCAAGGAGUUUCUUCAAACAAGAGAUCUUCCCAUGCAUUGCUGCCAACAUAAGUGGAGUCUAAAACAAACAUUCACAUUAAACAAUCAAAACCCAGUAAGAAGAAACAAUUCCGAAAUAAACUGAUGAAAUUAAAAUUAAAAGAAGAAUCCCUCACCUGUUUGUGACGAUUCAACAAAUCCGGAUUAACAGAUCGUUCCAAAAGUAAAGAGAGGAUCUAAUAAUGAAAAAAAAAAGAAAAAAAACCCAAAACUCAAAAUCCCCAAUCAAUAAACCAAAACAGGUAAACGAAAGAAAACGAAACCCAAAUCAAAGAAGAAAGAAAAAGACAACAACAAACCUCGAUCUGCCCAUUAGCAGCAGCAAAAUGAAGCGGAGAUUGACGAUCAUAGAGAGUGGUAUUAUGCAACAAAGAUGGUUGGUUAUUCAACAAAAGUUGAACCAUCUCUAAAUCCCCACACUGUACAGCACUAAACAAUCCAUUCUCAUGAGUCGCACUGCAACUCAGACCCUGCCCCAUCUUUCCUCCUCUGCUUAAAACGGUGAAAACAGAGGGAGAAGAAAGAAACUCAAGAGAGGGGUUGGACGCAGGCUCGGAGCUCCAUUAAAGGAUCAGAAAUGGAGGGGAGUGGCAUGGAAUACGAAGAAGAGGUCCAUUAGGACCAUUACUAAAUACUAUCGGUAAUGGAGUCAGAGAAGGAUGAAAUUGGGAAAAGAGAGAGAGAAGGGUGACCGUAGAAGCAAGGGAGGGAGUUGAAAUGGUGACUGCGGGCAGGGUUCAGAUAUUUCUCGGGCAGUUAGAUUCCUAAUGUUGCGCAAUUGGGCAACAAAGUCAGAUACUAAUAUUCAUUAAAAAAAGGUAUUUUUCUUUUUAAUCUUAUACUCUUUUUUAUUUUUUCAUUAAAUUAUGUAAUGUUUCUUAGUAAAUCAAAGAUGAGCAUUCAGCACCCUUUGCUUUUUUUUCUUUUCUCUAAUUAUUUUUCUUUUUUAUAUUCCAACCUUCCCACAAUAUGAAUAAUAGAGGUUGAUAUAUUUUAAUUUAUUUUACUAUUAAUUAACUAUUUCAAUGGAAAUAAAGUUUGUUUAAAUUUAAAAAUUAAAAGUCGGAGGAAAUGAAAAAUAGAUCCAAAAUUUAAAUCUGAAAUAUUUCCUUUCCUCUCUCAAUAAUAAUAAUAAUGAAUGAAGAAAUGAAAAUUUUGAAAUGAAAACAAAGAAUUUGAUCAAACUUGAUUAAUCUCUGUCCCUCCAUUUUAUUAUUAUUGCUAUUUUGUCAGAUUUCAUUAUCAAAGAUGUUUAUUUUAAAGUUCUUAACAUUUUAAAAAUAAAUAGUUUGGUCCUUUUUCUUUGCCUAUAUUCAAAAUUUGGCACCUUAAUUUCCCAAAAUUAAUUUUACACAUCUUACUUUUAAUCUAUGAACCCUUCAAAACUUCAAUUUUGGUUAUAUGAUUUUAAUAAAUCUUAAAAUUUGCCACCAUUUUGUUUUUUUUGUUUAUUAGCAUUUUCACCAUAAUUUUUUUUUAAAUAAUAAUUUAUUUUUUAAAAAAAUCACUAUUAUAUAAAUAACAAUGACAAUAAUAAUAAUUUCAAGAAACUAAAAAUUUAAAAUAGCAAGAUCAAAUUGCCCUCUUCUAUAAACAAACAACAACAAAGGAUCAAUCACAAAUAUAUGACCCUUAAAUUCAAAUUAUUGACAUAUAUAAUAAUAUUUUUUAAAAAUUAGGAAGAUAGUAAAAGAUGUCAAAAGUCUUAUCAAUAAUACCAAUAAAAAAAAAUAUUGCUUAUAAAGUUUAAAAUUACUAUUUAUUGUAAUUAUAAAAAAAAUAAUUAAAAAUCAUAUUAAGUUUUUACUAGUUUAGUCUUCCUUUAAGAUAUAUAUAUCAGAAUUAAAAUUUUGAAUUUAUAUUUAAUGAACAAGUUCGAUGACUAAAGCUUACUAUUUUGCAUUUAGAUUUUAGUUAUUUAAAAUUAGGUUUAUAAUUUAAUUUUUAUUUUGAACGAUCACUUGCAUUAUUAGGUACAUGAUUGAAUUUUUAGUCAAAUUUUUUUAAAAUAAAUAAAUAAAGUUAUCUGUUCUGUUUUCAAAUUUUGACUUGAUAUCAAUAAACAUAAAAAAACAAAAUCAAAAUGGUUAAAAAAAAGACCUAAAUUUUAUAAUUUACUAAAUUUUUAUACGAAGGUUUCAAUCAAAUGUAACACGUGCUAUAAGCUAGAUUAUCAUACAAAAUUAUAUACAUACAAAAGUUUGUGAAGUUAAUAAUUAAACCUAAAAUCAAAAUUAAGGUUAUAUAUGUUAAAAAGAAUAUUGUAUAUAUGAACACAGCAUUUUGUAUAGCAUGACUAAACAACUUUGUCGCGUAAAAAGGAAGAUGAUAAGCAAGUUACAACCCUACGUUACAUAUUCUUUUUGUGCUUUCUUUUGAAAUUUAAUACAUAUUAUUUUACUUCAAUUAUUUUAUAUUAUAUGGUUUUAAUUUGUGAAGGUUACCAACUUUGAGAGAGACAUUACAUUUCAGUUUAUUGAAAAUAAGAGAAUAUGAAAACGAAAUUAAUAGGCAUUUCUAUAUGCCAUCACUCAACCAAAUUCUUUUUGUAGCAUGUGGUUACAAUUUCUCUAUGUUAUCAAAUGGGGGUCUAAUUAGUACUACCUUUAACUUAAAUAUUCUCUCUAAAAAAAAAACAUUUUCAAUUUUAACUCUUUAAAUUUUGGUCUUUAUCUCAAUAUUAAUUGUAAUUUACUCUCUAUUUUAUAUCCACCAAAAGUAAAAAUAGAGAAAAAGAAAUUGUAAUUAGAUAUAUCGUUAUUUUUUAUAAUAAUAAAUAUUCUUUUAAUUGAGUUAUACUUUAAAAUUAGUUGAUAUAAUUAAAAGAAAAUAUUAAAAUAAAGUACUUAGUGUUAGUUUGAUGUUAAUUUUUAUCAAAAUGUGAAAAAUAACGAUAAUAGUUGUCUGAAUGCAUCACCUCACAUUAAAAAAAAAAAAAGAAGAAGAAGAAGAAGUAUUGUCAAACUAAUACUUUUAGAGAAGAGAACUUUACAACACAAAAUGCUAAAAAAAUGAGUGCAUCAAGAUGCACCAAAAUAUUCCUCAUUUCAUAUUUUUUAUGUAUCUUUAGUUAGAUUUUAUUCUCUUUUCAUCUUUAUAUAUUUCUUAUUAGAAGUAUAAAUUUUAUUUAGUCUAUAUACUUUUGGAAUAUUGAUUUUUGGUCUCUUUGUUUAUUUUCUUUUUCUCUUUCAAAAUAUCCAUUUUGAACACAAGUGGAGAAUGAAAAUUGGUUAUUUGAAAAUAUCAAACUGUAUGUGUACAUCAAAAAUCAAUUAAUACAAUCUUAUGAGAACAUACUAUUGGAAAGUAGGACGAUCAUAAUAGACAAAAGUAGGUGACAAAAAUAGAAUUUAAUGAAUUUACGUUUGCCUUAUACAACAUUAAAUUUUAGAUUCAAUGUUCAUCAAUAUUUUGAGAGUGGUUUUAAAUUAUUUUUUUAAUCCUUCAAAAUCAACCUUUAAUAAUAUGAAUAUUGUGUUUAAAAGUGUUUUUCAGGAUGGUUCUGAACUAUUUGAAAGCAUGCAAUGCACUUAGUAUUCAUCUAAAUCUCUUCUAUCAUUAAUUUCUUAAAAGAGAUUAAAGUCUAGCAGAGUAGCAAUAUUAGCCUAGAGCCUAUAAAUUUUGCUUUUACUCUUAAUUUAAGUCUUUAAUGAUGGCAUUUAAUUUUCUGCAUCCAUUUCCUAUUUCCAGCAUCCAAAAUUUAUCUCCCCUCCAACUAUAAAUUAGAGAAGAUUAUAGGGUGUGAUAAUGAGGUCUGAGUAAAGCAAAAAUUGAUUAAGAAAGAUAAUAACAUUUGAUAAUGUGGUCUAAGUAAAGUAAACACAAAUUAUCUUUAACUUUUUAACUCUCAGAGAAUCAAAAGUUUACUGUUUAAAUUAAGAAAUAUCAUUUUGUUAUCAUCAUUAUUGUCCCCUCCCUUUCAGAUCUUUUUCUUUUCUUGGCCUUACUAUUUGCAUACUUACCCUAAUUACUUUGUUAAUCUCAGGCCUCAACUCCAAUGUACUAAAGCUCACUCCCCAUUCUAAUUGCCACUGCCACUUCCAUUUACUAUUUCAAAAAUACGUUUAUUUGUACAACAAAUCCUCCGUUUGUCACACACAUCAACUAACCUAAAUAGAGAAUAUAUAACCCUAAUUCUCUUUCGACAGGGCAUAUCCUAUCAUAGGUAUUGUGAUCGACAUAAAUUCAAAACAAUAGCAACAAAGUCAAAAGAAUAACAAGUUUUAGUCUAAAAGUAAAACCCUAGAAUCACAAUUGGCUUAAGAAAGAGGAUUGACUUGGGGACUCGAACUUGGCCUUAAUUGAGGUUGAGCUUAACAAAAUGUUUAGUGAGAUAUGCUUGCACCUACUCCAACUCAAGAACAUUGUCCCAGGAUCAAAGGGGUUUAGAGGAGAAGUCCAUCUUAACCUAGUAAAAUAGUCAAUGAGCAUCUUUCUUGCAUGCUUUGUCCAAUGAGAAAAAGAGUAAACCUAAUGUGGCUCCUAAAGAAGAACCAUCUGUCAGUGCAUCAUUAUAUCUUCAAAGAAAGUAAAUUAAUUCUCACUAAAAUUUUCAAGCUUUCACACUCUUUCACUCUCUAACUAUGUAAAUUUUCCUUUACCUUCAAAGUUAUGAUUCAGGUUUCUCAACAAAUUUACUGUUGUCUAACUUGAAGUUACGAGCCUUUUUCCUAUCUAGAUUUUGACAUUAGCUAUUAGUAAAAAGAAUGAACACAAUGAGAGAAUAAGUAAGACGACAGAUGAACUUAUAUGGUUGCUUCAAUCAAUUGGGUUCUCUUUGUCAGGAAUACAGUAAGUUGCUCCUUCGAGUUCGAAAUUUGACCUGUACUUAUCAAAUUACCUGUGAACACACGACUUGGAGUUAAUAGAGUGGAAAGGGGCAAGUAGAAACCAAAAGGCAGUAGCUGGUAGGGAUUAUGAUCGAUCUUGCUACGUUUCCUAUAUUUUCUUUAAGAAUAUAUAAGUUAAUAGGCACAGAAAAUUGUAGAAACCAACACAAAUUCGUUUCCCAGAGAAUGAUUCCACGUAAACACAAGUUUCAUUGUUUUGAAACCAUGAACUCCUUUACAUUCUGUAAAAUUCCUUUGUCAUAUGGGUUUCUGAACUUCAUUUCACUGGACCUUUGGCCUGUAAACCACCGAGUUACAUAAUAGUUAUACAAAGAUAUAUAUAUGAUAUAUAUUCCCAUAACUGAAGUCAUAGUUCUGUGCAAGGUAUUCUUACCCUGCUCAGAUUGAACAACAAUUUGAAAUUCUGGAUACCUCUUCCAAUGAAUCUGAAACGGAGAUCGAUCCGUGUGGUGAAAAGAACAAAACACUAAAAGGAAAAGCUUUUUAAAAAGUAGAUGAGUCCUAUUUAGUCAAAUGGUGAGUUUUUGCAAUUUGCAAAGCAAACAGUCCACUCACAGUUUUGGUACCUGAAGAACUAUUGCAAUUGAUUUGUUUUGGUUGACUUCCAAAUUCAAAAAAUAAGGCCAAUCGGUGACCACUUGGUUCUUUUAAUUUUUUAUAAUUAAAUUUAUAUAAAAUAUUUUCUCAUAUAAAUUUAUUAGUUUUAUUAUCCACUUUUUUUAUUGAUGAUUUAGAAAAAUAACUUCAGACCAAAUUUAAAACUAAAAAAGAGUUUAAAGAGUUUAAAACCUUAUUUUUAGAAUUUGACCCAGGUAGAAAAUUAAAAACAAAAUUGUUAUCAAAUAAAAAUUUAGUUUUUAAAAAUUAAGCUAAUAAAUACUAACAUGUUUUAUUACCCACUUUCUAUUUUGAAAAAAUGAAGUCAACUUUUUCGAAUUAUUAUUAGUUUUUAAACUAUAAAAAAUAUUCUCAGGGUUUGUGUCAAAAAUAUUUGAAAAGUUUCAAAAAUAUUUUUGAAACCAAUCACAAAAUUGGACAUUUAUAUAAUUUAGCCUUUUUUAUUUUAAGAAAGAUCUGUGAAAACCAUACUUAAAAGUUUCAGAGGAAAUAGAGAUAAAUUUUUAAAAAAAUGAAAUUGAAAUCCAAUACAACCUAAGCUUUCAAAGUUUUGUUGUGUUAAUAGGUCUCCAAAUUUAAGAAGUGUAAUCGUUUCUAGAACUUUAUAAAUGUAUUGGAGGACAAAAUUUCAAUUUCAAUUUGGUAUUUAGAUUAUUCAACAUUUUAAAAAUUCAUGAACCUCCUAACUAAAAAUUUUAGAACCAUGAUAUUUCCAUUUGUAUCUAAUAAAUCCACGAUUUAUCUUUAUAAAUGAAUAUUUAGUAGGUUCACAAUUACCCACAUGAAGACUAAUUGGGGGAAAGAUUAUUUGCACUAUACAGUGCUAGCAGUUAGGAACUUACCCAUUCGUCUGUUCUAAUAUUGAAGCAGAUACAAUAUAUAUGCCACGAGAAAAACGCCACCUAAAAACAGUAAAAGAUCCAUCACCAUUUCCACGAAGACAAUAUCUUAAUGACUAGUGUCAACUAAAAGAAACUGCCUCCUAGACAAAAUAAAAAUGACAGAAAUACACCUGCCAUACUAAUUGUAGAAUAGAGAAUAGCAUGGUGCUCCUGGCCACUUUCCUUGAGAAAUUGACCUGAACAGUUGAUGAAUAUACCGAGUUAGUAACAAAGGCAAGGGUUCUUGACAAUCCAUAAGCAUGAUAAUACAAGUAGCUGUUAGCAACCAAUGCAAAGAAUACAGAAACAAACCUCUAACCUAGCUCCAUCACCAUCAAGAAGUUCAGACACAGCCGAAUCUGAAAAAUCAGCUUACCAGUAAAUACACUGCAAUAAAGCUGAAAAUGUGGGUAUAGAUAGCGAAACACUUACAUUGAGAUGAGCACGUUAUGUAAGUAGCUUCAGUCCAGAUAAAUCCAAAUAGUAAAACCAUGAAGAGGACAUAAUUUUUAUGCCCUGCACUACAAGCGUAUGCAACAUACACCAUAUUAACUGAAGUGAUGUAAUCACAUUUGACUUUAAAUUAUUAAAAUGAGGCGAUGCUAACCUAAGUAGAGAAAUUAAAUUACAGAUUUUUACAGGAGUGACGAGAUAUAAGCUUUAACUAAGAUCUUCUUUGAUGCCAUCAUCUACUAUUUUACCAAUACAGUUUCCGAAUGCGGGGCAAUGGUGGUCAAAGCCUUUCACAUAUGUCUUGCAUAUUGGACAGCAUCUCAACCUAUCACCCAAUCCAAUAUCCUUGGAAGAAGAACAUUAGCCAAAAGUUAGAGACCAGUCGAUUACUCAAAGAAAAGAGCAAGAACUGCUAUGGUAACAUAAACACCUACAAACUAAGCAAUGCCCGCAAUAGUAAUAUUAUAUUUGACAUGGCGAAGAAUAGUAUUACAUUCAAGUUACAGAUUAAGAAAUAAGAACAUUAUAGAUUUUGCAAAAUCUAAAUCCAGAAUCAUUCGAACCAAACACAAAAACAAAAGCAAUAUCAACACAAAAUUUGAAAUUUUGUAUGAUGGCAUACAUAAUGAUUUUGUUAUUUUCUUAAAAACUAGAAAGAGGCAGAAAGAAAUACAAAUAACUAUUUCACUUGAACGCCUGAGAUAAGGAUUACUCGUUAAGAGUUCCAUUUUCUGCAGGAAAAAGAGCUAGAUGGCUUAGGUUUCAAGAUAUUAUAAACUUAAUAAGCUCAAUUAAAUUUUCAACCUGAUGGUGAGUGUCAAUUUCUAAAACUGAACUUUGGGGAAUUGCAUCCGAAGGCGAUGGACUAUGUGACACUAAACCAGGAUCACUGAGUAACAUCCUGCCGGUAUAAACCUGUAUGUUAGAAUAGUAAAUAGAACCGCCAGCCAAGCAGGCUUCAGUAGGUACUAGCAUAGCGUAAAGACAUUUUGUAAUAUAAUGAGUUAUGGAGUAAAGGAGUCGUGAGAAAUGAACAGGAAAGUCGGGAAACAGACCUGCAAAGGCCAAAGAUGAGCAAGAUUAUCUGCCCAUUAAACAGAAGAUUCAUCAAAAGCGAAGCAUCUGCAAGGCAUAUAAGAUAUUGUCACUCUAAGCUUGCAUGGAGUAGAUAGCUCUGUUAUAUUUCUUUUUCAAAUUUUGGUGAGAAUCUACUUUUUUUAUAAAAGAAACAAGCUAACCUCAUUGCAUGGACUACAUCUCUCAUUGCUAAUUAGUUUUUAAAUGAAAACUCAUGUUAUCUAACAUGAUAUCAUAAUCCAUAAAGCCCAACCCCGAUUUGGCAUUCAUUCCAAAAACGAAAAUUUGAAUCAGAUCCAAAAUGGUAAACCAAAAGUGACUCCAUCUUGAUGAGACGAUCUCGCCAUAGAAAAAUAAGGGUCCUUACAAUCUUAACAAGACAUAUAAGUUUUUUUUUCCAUAGUGAAUUGGCCUUGAGAUAUGUUAUUCAAUGAAUUCAAAUAAAUCAGUGAGAGAGGUAGAAUACUCAUUGAAUUGGUCUGUGAUGAACUAAAGGAACUUUCGUCCUUCAAAUCGAAUAGAAAGAAAUCGUCGGUUAGAAUUUGGGGGAAGCCAAGUACAAUCCCGCCAGUCCUAUUGAAAUGAAUUGCGAAGUGUACAGUUGACAGAAGAUUCAAUACUCGUAAUUCUCAAGACUCUAGAGAGCAACUUCUACCUCUAGAAUGAUUUUUCAGGUCAAAAUUAUUAGUUCAGUAUCACGUUAUGCCAGAAUUUCACCUUCUGGAUCAUUCACAGCAAUCUGUUCUUAAGUAGAAAAUUGAGAAACAAAAAUAACACUGAGAAAAGGACCUUGUCGAACAACAGCUAUGUAAACCAGCCAGACGAAAAGUACACUGAAGAAAACGAACGCUGGAGCAGACGAGCGGAUUCGAAUAAGCCGCCUGCACCAUCCAGCAGCGCUUGCAACUGUUAGAAGCAUCACAGCUGGAAAAAAAAACAAACAAACAAACAAAAUAACCUCACAGUUAAUGGCAAUCAUCAAUGGAGCUCCGAAAAAGAAACAGGAGAGAGAUAGAUAGAGAGACCUGAAAGUAGGAGUUGAAUGAAGAAGGACAAAUCGGAGAAGAAGUGAGGAACAAGAAAUUGGGUGCUUUGAGUAAGCAAAACAAGUAAUAGAGAGACUAUGCAACGACCGAUCAGAUCCGGCCAUUUCGCCGGUUUCUUCCGGUCAUGUAAUUCCACCAUUUCUUUUCAAACAAAAAAUCUGAUUCGUGGAAGGGACGAUCGAUGAUUGGUCACUGUGCCUGAAAAAGCAGGCUACUAUUGGGCCUUACGUAUAAUUUAAGCCCAUUACAAUCGGCCCAUGAGUCGCCCACAAACUUGGAAAUUGGCGGAGGAUGAAAUUGUCAAAUAAUUUUAUUUUAUUUUUCAAAAUUUCAAAUUUUAGUUCACCAAAAUAAUGUAAAUUUUUUACUUUAAAAAAUAAAAUAAAUAAAUAUGGAUUUUAAAUAUAUAUAACUAUUGCAUCUUCUAAAAAAUUCAACCAAUCAGCGAAAGGUUAUUUAAAUUUAGCUGUAGGGAUUAAAAAUCCAUUCAUCAUAAAAUUCAAAGCUUUCACACUUUGAUUAUCUAACUUAAGUGUCAAAAUAGUGCAUGUGGCAACAUCAUUAAUUAUGUGGAUCACUUUUUUUCUCUCUCUAAAUGAAUCUGUGGUUGAUGUCAAAAGAAGUAGGUCUUUCUUUAAUUUGUGUACCGCUAAAAGGAUGAAAAACACAAAAGAAUAAAUAUGGUAAUACUAAUAAUCAUUUUAAUACGGUAAACUAUGUAUUUACUUUAUUAUAUCAAAGCUUUAACUAACAAAUGUGUUAUUUCAUGUUUCUUCGGUCAAAACUGAUGCCUUUUCUAUAUUUAAUCAAACCUGAAAAUAAGACCCGCUGAAAUGAAGUCUAGCAGUCUAAUAUGUACAACUUAAAAACCUAAUAAAUCAAAAUUAAAAACAACCGGACAUACCACACUUUCUUUUAUUUUUCGGAUUGGGUAUGGGUUGAAAAUUUUGAAUCAACCCAGUCUAAUCCAAAUUACUAUUGUUUUCUUUUCCUUUUUUUUCUCAAUUUUAUGAAAAACAUAUUUGAUUUAUGUUUAUUUUCAUUUACAAAUAUUAAAUAAUAAUAGAAUGAGUUAGAUUGAAGAUGUGUUCGAAAUUGAAUGUAUUUAUUUAGACCAUAGAUAAGUUAAGGUGGCAUCUGGGUUUCCUUUCCCGUGUGGAGUGCACAUAUUUGGGGAAUGGGGACAAUAAGGGGCCACAGCUGAAGAAGUAGAGACAUUCCUGAUUGGGUAAAUUGGUUGAUUUAUAUUCGGCUCGAUGAAGGCUCACCCUCACUUAGCAGAGUUCAGCCUUUAACCAACUAAAUCGCGGCACGUCAACAUUUUCCAACUACUAAAACUGCAUGCGGCCCACAUGUACACAAAAGUCCAUUUUUUUCCAGACUGCUCAAGCAUAUCUGAGGGUUCAAUAAAUCCAUAUGACACGUGUAGAAUCUGGAUCUAUUCAAAGGUGGACGGUCUUCGCCGUCCCAUUAUUAUUAUUUAAACAAGGUCACGGCGUAGGUUUGAUCAUCCAGGAAUUGGGCCCCUGAGUUUUGGACCGCUUUGAUUUGUUUGUGACUCAAUUUACGUUUCACUCAAUCCAAUCAACAUUUCUCAUAUUUUUUAGAAAGAUUUGGAAAAAAUAAAUUAAUUGAAUAAGAAAUUUUACCUAUCUUCCCAUUUCAAAAUUAUUUUCUUAAAUAGAAAAUAUAAUAUUUUAUGGACAAUUUUAAUCUUUCAAUAAUUAUUAAUUAUAUGUUUUAUUUAUAACAUUAUUUAAAAUGAUUUGAAUUUAAUAUGAAUUCCACGAUUUUCUUAAUUUUUAAUUUUUAAUGUGAUCAAUCAAUAUGGUAAUAAAUUUUAAGUAUCUUCUCAACUAACUAUAAAUAAAAAUAUAUUAUAAUAUGAGUAAUUUUAGUCUAAUUUGUAAUAACCGUAUGAUAUAUUUUUUUCAAUACUAUAUUUUUAUCUAUUAUUCUUUAUGGCUGACAUUCAUUAUUGUCCAUCACUUGAAACUUUUCAAAAUUCAAUCACAAUUUUUUUCACAAUUUUUCGACAGUCAAAUUUGUAUUCAAUUUUGUAAUAAUCAUAAGAUGCAUCUUCUUUACAAGUCGCCAUCAACUGAAGCUAAGACAAUUUUCACAGGAAGUCAUUUUUUCUUUUACUCGUUUAAAAUUAAAUAGUUAAACACCAAAACUACAUGAUUAGAUCAGAGUAUAUCAUUUGCGUAUAUAUCGUAUAUUUUAACGAUACACCCCUCAUUUUAGUGGUUUUCUGAUGUGAUUUAGUAAAUAUAUACCACAUAUUAAUUAUAAUUAUAUUAGUUUUAUAAUAUUAUUGCAAUAUAUAAUAGUUUGUAUAUGUGAUUUAUUAUAUAUAUAUACUACAUCUUGUUUACAUUUAUAUUAGUUUUAUAAAUUACCCGUAAAAUAUUAUAUACCAUAUAUUAUUUACAAUUAUACUUUAUGUAAAUUUGGUUAUGAAUGGUGAUCUAAAUAUUUUUUAUGGAUGAUUUUCUCUCAUUAUGCUCGUUCUGACUGCUUGCUUGUAAGCAAAAAUCUCUAUUUCUAUUUUCUAAUUAAACAUUUAAAAAAUGUCACGGUAUAUAGAUAAUAGUAUGUCAUAUAUUUCAAUCAUUUUUCUUAUACAUACCUUUACUGUUUUAUUUUUCACAGCUUCUCUUUGAUUAAUAUGUUUUUUUUUCUCAAUUUCUUGGUCUGCAACAAACAUUAUAAACUUCAUUUUCAGUUUAUGUUUUAAUUCAUAAAAUCACUAAUACAUAAAUGAUUUAAGAAAUGUAAUAACCUUCAUUUUCAGUGCUUUUUUUUCUAUUUUUUCUACUUCAUUUAGUAGAGUUGUGUUGUAUACCAUGUCAUAUAAGCUCUCGUUCUAUCCAUCUUAUCAAUCAAUAAUACAUACACAAUACUAAAUAUAUAAUUUACAUACGUGUUUAAAAAAAAAUACAUAUACUAGUUGUAACACCAUAUCAUUGCAGCUUCAUUUUCACUAUUUACUAUUGUAGUUUUGUCCCCUUUUUCAUCCAUAUUUAUAUUUUCUGUAUUACCAUCUUCUCCAUCGUCCAACAAUCUGUCAUCUCUUUCACCGUUUUCUCCAUCACGAUCCUCAUCCUUAUCUUCCCAAUUUUCUUCUUCAGUCAUUGAACUACUUCUAUUAGUCUUUUUUUUUUUUAUCUCUUCAACCUCCCAAAUGAGUUUGUCCAACUUCUUAUUUAAUUCUUCAUUGUUUGCGAACAUAAUUUUCUCGAAUUUUAGCAUUUGCUCAGAUUCUUUAAAAAUUACAUGUUGGCAUUUGCUCAACAAUUAGAACAUUCAAGAUAUACCCAAUGAACAUUUAAAAUAUACUCAAUAUCUAUAGGAAAAACCCUCAUAUGGCGGUCCUAAAAAAUGUCUUAUUCACUCUGAAACCUCAAUAAACCCUAGGAUAUAACACAUGCAAAAUUUUAUUUUUUGUCUCGUUGUCUAUUCAGUCUAAUAUCUUGAAUAUAUGUAAUAUACCAAAUGUCUACUAUGUAUUGAAUAUAUACAACCUAACCUCGUAUUUUUCGACCGUCGAAAAACAGAUAAACUGGUCGGCCGUCGAAUAACUUCUUCACUGUUGAAAUCGAUGAAACCCUUCUUUUUCACUGUCGAAAAAAAAAAUCAUCAAAUAACUUCUUCACUGUCGAAAGGGAUUUGAUUUUUUUGAAUAUGGAAAGUGAGAAAACUGCUCCAUCACUUUCCUAUUUUAAUGACAUAUUCUCAUUAUAAUUAAUAUUUUUGUAUAUUUUAAAACAAUGAAAAAAAUACCAUAUGGACAUAUUGGUAAUUUGGACCUAUUUUUGUGUAAUAUCGUGGUCCAUUUGGUACAUUUGUGUAAAAUAUUAGCAAUUUGUGUUUUUUUGUAAUAUCCAUGGUAAGUCAGGCUAUAUGAGUUAAAAGACUAUUUUUUUUUAUUCUACUUUUUUAUUUCCCAUCUCUAAUAUUUUUAUAUUUCAAUACAUUUGAAAUAAUCAUUUGAUUUUCUUUUCCAAAUCAGUUUGGAUUGGUUUGUGCCAAUUAAACUCUCCAUUUUCGUAAUUUAAUUACUAAAUACUUCAAAUCACAAUAAUUUUGGAGAAAUUUUAUGUGUAUAUAUGUUUACAAAACUUCACCUAAUUUUAUUGAAUACGUUUCAAAAGGAAAAAAAAAAAAAAAAAACACAUAAAGUUGAUUGAGACAAAUUGUUCAUUUUUUUAUUUUAUGUGAAAUAAAGAAGGAAACGUUUGUCUUUAGUUAUGAUUUUUUUUAUAUAACUUAUUUAUUAAAUAUAUUUUGCCAUUCUUCCAUACCAUGCAUCUUUAUUAAUACCUUAGUACCAAGUUUGUGUGUUAUUUUAGCAUUAAGUGGACUUCUGUAUUAUAUUAUUCUUGUUGAAACAUUUUUAUAAAGUAAGAUAUUAGGUUUAGUUUAUAGGAUUUGUCUUUUUUUCAAUUUAACACUAAAUAAAGUUAUUUACAUCAAUAUUGUGCCAUUUAUUUCUAAUAUUGAAAAUAGUUGUAAAUUAAAAAAAUAUUUGAAGUGGGUGUGUAUGUUGCAUACACUUCACUAUUGUUUUCAAUUUAUCUCUAGUUUAAUAAUUUAUAAGCAUAAUAACAAAUUACGUCAACUAUUGAAUUGUCUUCUCACGUUUAUUCAAUUAUAUUUAUGAAUAAAUUUGGUAAAAUCAUUUUAUUUCAUUUUCACACACUAAAUGUGUCAUCUACUAACUUUUAAAAUAGUAGAAUUGUUAUGAAUUAGAAAAAUAUUAAACGUAAUAAAUCAAAAUUAAUAAAACUUGUGUAUGUAUAUAUAAUAAAUAAGAGGAUUGUUAUAUAUAGAAAAAUGUUGUCCUAAAUUCAUUUUAAAGGGAAAAAAAUCAUAACAUGCAUCCAAGUUAAAAAAAACAAUCAUAUAAUUUUGGGAAAAAGAAAACAAUCAUAUAAUUUUGAAAAAAAAAUCAUUUUAUAAAUAUAUUAAUUUUGAAUUUAAUUUGUAUUCCGUUUUUAGAUUUGAAAAUGUUACAUAUUUAAUUCUUUAAUUUUGAAUUUGAACCCAAUUUAGUUUAUAAAUUUUAAAAUGUUAUGUAUGAGGUCAAUUCCAAUUUGUUCGACUAAAUUUUAAUAUUUAUAUUUGUAACAUAAAAAGUUAACUAAAUACUUAUUUUUCGUAUUUCACAUAAAGAUUUAGAAUAAUUAAACAAACUAUAUAAUUAAUUGAAUUUUAUUGUUUCUUCGUCACAUUUUAAAGUCGAUUUAAUAUUUUACUCUAUGCCUUGAAUCCUAAUCAAAAUUGAUUUAUGAGAUGAUUUGGUAUGUUUGUUGGGAUGUCUUGUUUCCUGAUUAGAAUUGGUCUAGGAGAUGUUUAUUUAUUUAAUUAGUUUUGGUUAUACUGCGCUCCUCAAUCAAAAUAUAAAUUUAAUUUUGUUUCUAAAAACUCAACUAUAAAUUGCAAUCGAAAGUAUACAUUGAUAUUAACAAUUAUGUAUAGUUAUUUAGAAAUACAAAAUAAUAUGCAAAAAUUGAAAAUGCGUUUUAGUUAUUAUUGUCAAUCACAAUAAUUUGAUUUAGUAUUAUUUACCGUAUAGUAACUUGUGUUUUAUGUUUAAAACUUCAUCUUCCUAAAUACUAAUUUACUUAAUUUUGUUAAAAUUUUAAAAACACUGUUGAAUAAGAAAUUUUGAGACCAAUCACAUAUUGUCACGUCAUUUAUUAAGUUGAUGAUGAAAAGUAUAAAUAAUUAAAUUUUGAACUAAUUAAAAUUUACAUGUGUCCCAAAUUAAAGAAUUGAAAAACAUAAAUUAAUCAUUCUAAUAAUGUCACAUGUUUUCAUCUUAAUCGUUUGAUUAAGUUAAUCAUUCUGUUCAAUUAAAUAUUAUUUACUAAGUUCAAUUAAGCCAAAAAAAUAAGCUUAAUUGAGCCUAAGACUAAAUAUAACUUAAAUCCAUAUGGUUGAGCCCAUGGGUCUGGUCCAUGGACCAACCAGGUUUAAGCCCAUAAACCCCACAAGUGAACUCUAUAAAUAGAAGAAUUCUCAACAGUUUGAAAGAAAUUUUUGACUUCGGAAGGUUCAGACAGAAUUCUCCCAAUGAGUAGAAGACUCCCUAACUCCUGAAGUCGACCAUCAUCGGGAAGAUUGAAACUCUUUUGAAGAUACACACUUUCUUCCAAGACUCCAACUUCAAGAAUAUCAUGUGCUCCGCUUCCUUAAAUCAAGCAUAGUCAUUCCGCUUCCUUAAAUCAAGCAUAGUCAUUCAACCAACUUGAAGAACAUCACGUGCUCUGCUUCUCAUUCAACCAACUUGAAGAACAUCACGUGCUCCGCUUCUCCAAGCGUAGACGUUAAAAAAACUUCAAGACUAUCAUGUGCUCAAGCGUAAGCAUCCAGUCGAAAGAGAAUCGAGAUUGAACUACAUCAACACUCAAGUUCAAGUUCACGAAUUAAAUACACAAUUAUUGUAAAAGUUACACCAACGUAAAUGAAAAUGGUGUAAAUUAAUUUUGUUAGUGUUUAAAAAAGUGUAUAAGUGAAAAAAAAAAUUGUAAACACAUACAAAUUCAAUUCAAAUGUAGUCUAAAUGUUAAUAUUGUCUAAUUGUUUUAAUAAGAAAACAAAAAUGAAGGAUAGAUGAUGAUAAUAAUAAUUAUUCACAAUAGCAAGUACUAAUUACUAUACAUUAAAAGGACAUCUAUGUAAAUCUAACAUUAUAUAAAUAUGAAUUUUCAAAUAUAGCAGUAAAUUAACAUUUGCUUUACCGAGAUAGAAGGAUCAAUUAGCAAAAAGUAACGUAGUUUUGAAAAAUAAUCAAGAAAAAGAGGUUAUUUUGAAACAAAUUAUGUACCCUAAAAUUAGGGUGAUUUGUUUGUUUGUUAGUAGAGUGCCUCUCUUUUCUUCUUCAUCUUCUUCGAUUUUAGAAAAAUUUAACUUAUAAUGGCUGAUUUUCGUAAAUAUCAACAUAUUUCCUAAUACUCUAAUAAGAUAAAAAAAGAAGAAGUAAAUAUUUCAUAUUUCUCAUUCAUUUUAUUUCCUUUCUUUUUAGUUUCUAGUCUAAACUAUCGUAUAAGAAAAAAAAAAAAAAUAGUUAAAUCUAACGUAGUUUCUAGUCUAAACUAUCGUAUAAGAAAAAAUAAAAAAAAUAGUCAAAUCUAACGUUUUUCAAAUAUACUACGUAAAUAGUAGUUUUUUCGUUUUUAAAAUUAUUAUCUCUAAAUAUGUUUAAACUCAUUCCAAAUGAUUUGCUUCUUUUUUUAUAAAUAUUUUCUUUAUUUUCAUUAUAUUUUUCAACAAAUUUUAUUUCAAUUAAAAUAAAACUAAACUUAUAAUUAAUGUUCAGGAAGAAAUUCUUGUGUUUUGUUCUUUGUAUAAAUUUCCUUAUUUUUUUCAACUUGUUUUUAUUUAUUUAUUAUUAUUUGGGCAAUUCACAUACUUCGUUUAUCAAAUACAAUUAUUUUGUUUUUACAAAAUUUUAAAACUAUUUACUUUUUUCUAGAACGUCUGAUGUCAUAUUUAUUGUUUUAAGUUUUUUUAAUCUUGAUACAAUUUUUCAAAAUUCAACUUAUGUUUUCCUAAUCUAACCAGGGAUAAAAACAAUUUAGUGUUAGUUAAAAAUUAUAAAAGUGUACAUAUUAUAUUUGAAUGAAUUAUAAUUAAUUAAUUAUUUUAGCCAUUAAACCAUAAUAAUUAAUAAUUAAUUAAACUAACAUAAACUAAAAAGAAUAAAUAUGUAAUUUUAUAUUUUUGGUCAAAUUGGUUCAACUUUACUAAUGUAUAAUUAAAAGUCCUACUGGACACAUCAAUCAUAAUUGAUUACAUUUAAAUUAUUUUGAUAAAAAGAACUUAACUAGUUUGAUUUGGUUAAAAAAUGACUUAUUUUUAAAAUUAAAAUUAAAAUUAAUUUUUAUUAUUUAAAUUUGAAAUAAAAUUUGGUUGAAAAUAUAAAUAAUAUAAUAAAAGCAUUAAAAGGAAAAAGGAGCGAGAAGAAGUAAGAUUUGUUUGAAAAUAAGGAAAAGAAUUAAAAGAAAUAAUGGAUUAAAAGAAAAGAAAAGAAAAAGAAGAAGAGAGAACUUGUUUCUCUUUUUAAAAACGACAGAACAAAUAAAUAAAGAAAAGAAAGGAGGGCGACUAAAAGAAAUUACUCCAUUUAUCUGAUUUGUUUCGAAAUAACUCUUUUUAAAAAUUACGUAAUUUUUCCAAUUGAUUCGAAAUAGAAAGAACAGAAAACUCAAUUGAAAUAAAAAUAAUAUUAAUUAAUAACGUGAAUGAUUAUUUAAAAUAAUACAAAUAAAAAGACAAAUUUACCAAAUUAUUUAAAUGGGAGAAAAAGGUAGAUCUAAAUUUUAAGCAACAGAUAUAGUAUAUAAAUAAAAUGGAGUGGUCUAGGAAAGCAAUGGAGGAUGUGACAGGGAGAGAAAAGGGAAAUAAAACAAAAGUUAGGACUAAAAAAUGUCAAUUAAUUACCAUUUAAUUAUCGUUGCCGUCGCUAAUUGCCCUUCUGCUUUUCCAUACAAAUAAUGAUUAGGUAUUUAGAGUUAAAUGCACUGCAAAAUGGCACCCACUAUUAUUUUAUUUGCAAUCUGGACCAAACCCAAGCCGACUUUUACCAAUUCUUCAGCCGCGCCGCCCAAAUCGCAGGAGUCCCAUUAUUUACGCCCUGACCUUGACUCACGCCUCCCGCGUUGGCUAAUUCACCCAGCCGCCUCCUAGGAGCACAUUGCAAACAGAAAUAAAAAUACUUCUUUACUCUUUUAUUUUCCUAAAUUAAUUUAAUAAGUGUCAAAUUAGUUUAUAAAUUUUUUUGAACUCUUCGCCAGUCUUAGUUAUAAUUAUAAAACACUAAGUCUCCUUACGUUUUAAGUACUUUAAGUUUCACUUUUACUUCUAAUAUUAAAAAAAAGAAAAAAGAAAACCAAGUAGUUUGAAAAAGUAUUAAUUUUUUUUCGAAAGCCUUUCCUUGUUAUGGUUAAAAAAAAAUGUGAAUUUCGUUACCCAAUUAGGUCUUCGCAAUUGAAGGUUUAAUUACAAAUUGAAAAAAAGAAUUAAAAUCGGAUUAGGAGUGUAAUUUAACAAGAAAAAAGAAGAAGAAAAUCUUGCUAUCUUCCAGCAUCUCUUCGUUUCUCUUUCUUGAGUCUUCGUUUUUCCUGAUGGAAGCAUUCUCUCUCACGGAGGCGAUUAUGGAAAGAUAUUUUCAACAUCACGGCGGGACUUGGCUGGCGAACACGCAAAGAUUUUGGGGAAUUUGAUGCCGUUUUUUUUCCCCUUUGUUUGUUUCUGUUUGUUGUGGGCGGUUAUUUUUAGAGAUUUUUUGUUUGGUUUGAGAGAUUAUGGAGGGAGGUAACAAUGGCGGCUCCUUUCGGAGUUUGAUCGACUUGGUGAACGAUGUUGCUUCAAUCUCUGACUUCAGGUAUGCGGUCAGAAAGCAGUAUUGUAAUUUAGCUAGGCGGCUGAAGCUGUUGAUCCCAAUGUUUGAAGAGAUGAGGGAUAUGAAGCAACCGCUGCCGGAUGAUAUCGUUCAAGCUCUUGCUUCGUUGAAAGAAGCUCUGGAAUCGACUAAGGAGUUGCUUAGACAUGGGAGCGAGGGGAGCAAGAUUUAUCUGGUGCGUUUACUUCACUCUUUGUGUGUUAUUUGUUUGAUCAGCGUGGCUUUUUCUGCUCUACGAUGUUGCGAAUUGGUGAAUUUCAUUUGGAAUUAGUGUUUUCUCUUUUCUUGUUUUGGAUGUCUGUUUGGCUAAGUGGAGAAUGAUAGAAAAUCGAACGCGGAUUAUUGGUUAUUGUGAUUUUCAGAAGCUACUUACCUUCGCUUAUUCGGAACAUAACAUUUUGAUUGGGUUGGUAACUGGGAUUUUACACUUCUGGAAAUGAUGUUUUGAUCGUCGUUUUCCAUUAAAAGAGAAUCGCGGUUCAGCCACACCUCUGCUAAUGCUUUAAAUUUAAUUCGAUCAGGCGACGUUUAUGCUGCGAUGGUUGCAUUAUGGAACGAUGAUUUGGGGAAACUCGAGUUCAAACAUUGGUCUAAGUUAGCAGGCGACAUUUAAUUUACAAAUAAUGCCGGUUACAUUGUGAUUUUCGAUUUCUUUAGGUUUUACUCUACGUGAUCUAGACUUGAUUUUAACUUUGCGUGAAUAUAUGAUUUAGGUUGCGCCUAAAUUUUAAAUUUAUUCUUAAUCAGUCGUAGUUUCUGAAUAUUGGGAAAAUCGAUAUGAGAUGAAUGUCCGCAGUAAAUCAAGAUAAUUUCUCCUUUCAUGCUUUAACAACGCAUUAUAUUAUUUUUGUUCUACUGCCCUUGAUCUAAUAUGUUUCUCAACUUAAACUGCAGGGCUUGGAGAGAGAGCAAAUUUUGAAUCAAUUUCACAAGGUGACAGCAAGACUGGAGCAAGCUCUGAAUGAAAUUUCACAUGAAGCUCUUGACAUAUCUGAUGAAGUCAAGGAGCAGGUAGACAAUUUAUCAUCUCUCCUUUUCUUUUUAUUCUUAAUAUCUUUGAAAUGAUGUCCUAGAAAGGAAACUAAAAAGUUAAGAAUAUUGUGUUUCUUCACUCAUGGAACUUGUUUACUACCACUCUUGCUGUUGAAAGAUGAACUUAAAAUCUUUACCAAUUGAAUCGUGUGCCAUGGAAGUAGAUGCUUAACAACUAGGUAUUACCUCGGUGUUUGCAUCAGCUUGUUUUCUUCCAUUUGUCUUUUUCACUAAUGGGUUUGUAAUGGAUUCUAAUCCUAGGUCUGUAUUUGGAUUGAGGGCUCUGGGGUCGGUUUGCAAUCCCUUUAACAUUCUCUUCCUAAAAUUUUUAACCCGGUUCCUUUCCACUAUUUUCACGUUUUACAAUCCUAUUCCAAAUUUUUAACGUUUCUUUGUAAUCCCUAGUACAUUUCAACCAUCCAAACAAGCUCUAAAAAUAUUAUGAGAUUUGAAUGCCCUAUAAAAGUUUUAUACCGAUAUAUGCAUAUCUAACUCUUUCUGCAUCCAGGUUGACCUUGUUCUCUCUCAAUUCAAAAGGGCAAGAGAAAGGAAGGAUACAGAAGAUGCUGAGCUGUAUGUUAACCUGAACUCUCUCUAUAACAACAGAGAUGUUGCUACUGAUCCUUCUAUCUUGAAAGGAUUGGCUGAGAAGUUGCAAUUGAUGGAUAUAGCUGAUCUUACUCAAGAAUCUCUUGCUUUACAUGAAAUGGUUUCGGCUAGUGAUGGAGAUCCAGGAGGGAGAUUUGAGAAAAUGUCGAUACUAUUGAAGAGAAUAAAAGAUUUUAUGCUAACUGAAAACCCUGAAUUUGGUUCUUCAAAAGAACAGAGUCAUCCUCGCACUGGUGGACAAACGUCUGCUGGUAAGAAAAAUAUAUCGUCCCUUCACAUACCUGAGGACUUUCGAUGCCCCAUAUCCCUGGAUUUGAUGAAAGAUCCCGUCAUUGUCUCUACAGGACAGGUAUUUACAUAUUCUGUUACCUAAUUUUUACCUCUAGUUGAACAUAAUUUUCUUUUCCAGACGAGAAGUAGGUUGCUACCACAAACCUCCUUCCCAGUUGUGUGGCAGAUCAAGUCUUUAACCUUAGGGGAGGUAGUAGGUGUCUCUUGCUUAGAUUGACUCAAUUAUGUAAUGUGUCUACUAGAUGAUACUCGAUGAAAUUUAGAACAUCUAUUGAAUAGUCUCACAUUGUAUUCAAUGGUUAGAUGUUGAGUUGUUAUUUCUUGUGACUCUUAAUUUAGUUCCUGAAUACAUCAAAUAAUUUUCCUGGACAAUUGAGAGGCCAAGAUAUGAUGCUGCAUCGAGGAUUGGUUUUUAUCUCAUAGUCCUGUUUAGACAUCACUUACAAGUGGAUACUCUAUGUAUAACUCUCAAUUUAGUCUCAAUUUAUACAUAGUCCUAUAUAUAACUCUCAAUUUAGUCUUCUAUUGAAUUUUCGCAUCCAUCACUAGGGAAUAAAACUGAACACGUUGAUCUUGCUCCAAAUUAUUCCUAAUGCAGUUUCGUUUUUCUUUUUGGUAGACCUAUGAACGUGGUUUCAUUGAGAAGUGGCUGGCAGAUGGACACAUGACAUGCCCAAAAACUCAACAAGUUCUCACUAGCAAAAUUCUUACACCAAAUUAUGUUUUACGUAGUCUCAUAGCUCAAUGGUGCGAGGCCAAUGGGAUCAAACCACCACAACGUGCCAGCAGUUCUCAGCCGAGUGAGUUGACUCCGGCUGAACGCUCUAAGUAUGAAGCUCUACUCCACAAGCUCACAUCAGGUAACAUUGAAGACAAGCGAUCUGCUGCUGGUGAGAUUCGGCUUCUAGCCAAACGCAAUGCAAAUAAUCGUGUAGCCAUUGCUGAAGCUGGUGCAAUUCCUCUUCUUGUUGAUCUCCUUUCAACAACAGACCCCCUCACUCAAGAGCAUGCUGUGACAGCAUUACUUAACCUAUCAAUUUGUGACAAUAACAAGAGAAGCAUCAUGUCCUGUAGGGCUGCGCCUGGCAUAGUCCAUGUGCUGAAGUGGGGGAGUAUGGAAGCACGUGAAAAUGCUGCUGCCACUCUUUUCAGUCUCUCUGUUGUAGAUGAAUAUAAAGUAAUGAUCGGCGCAUCGGGAGCCAUUCUGCCACUUAUUGCACUACUUAAUGAAGGUACUCAAAGGGGGAAGAAGGAUGCUGCAACGGCUCUAUUCAACUUGUGUUUCUUCCAAGGUAACAAGAUAAAGGCAGUCAGGGGUGGUGUUGUUUCCAUACUAAUGCAGCUGUUGACAGAAUCUAGAAUAGGGAUGGUAGAUGAGGCCCUUGCAAUAUUAGCCAUACUGGCCAACAAUUCCGAAGGACGAGCCGCUAUUGGAGCAGCCGAAUCUGUCCCCAUUUUAGUAAAUCUCAUUGGAACAGGAUCCCCUAGGAAUAGGGAAAAUGCAGCUGCAGUUUUGGUGCAUCUUUGCAUGGGAGACAAACGACAUCUUGUUGAAGCAAAGGAGCUUGGAGUGAUUGGUUUGCUUGUGGAUAUGGCAGAAAAUGGAACAGACCGAGGUAAGCGCAAAGCAACACAAUUGCUUGACCAAAUAAACAGGUUUACAGAGCUGCAGAAAGAGGGUGAGGUUCAAUCUCAGUCUCAAUCCCAGCCGUUACUACCACCACCUUCCGCAAUCGGCAACGUUGAAAGCUGACCAGGUUUUUUCUUCCCAUUGUCUUUCUCAUUGUUGGGUUUCUUUCUUUAUUUCAUCAUACACAUCGAAGGAAUGCAGCUCUUGUUCAUGGAGGUGGAAGAUCACCAGCUUAACUUAAUCUGUAAAUUAUAGAUUUCUUUUUUUCAUUUGAGCGAGAGGAACUCAACUUCCAUGGAUGAUCGUGAGACUAAAUUACUAGGAAGUAGAACAAUGUUCAUCCUCAAAAUCUGAAUGAAGAGAGAGAGUUUGUAAAUUGAUGUGAUGAUUAUGAAUCGAAUAUAAACUGCACUACUGCAGUGUAUUUGGGCAAAAUUAGCCGACAAUUUUGAAUCACUUUUCUAAAUAUUUUACUACUGCUUCAUAGAAUUGGGUUUUCCGAUGAAGGAAAAAGGCAGCCGCCGGCCAAGAGCCCCGCCUUGCCGACACGUCGUUUCAGCAUUGCCUUGAAGAUGAUUGAUGAAAAUUGUGGUGUGCGUAAGUAACGUAUGAUUUGUGGCAGUUUAGUGGACAAGUCAAAUAUACGACGCAUCGCAUGGUACGUUGACUUGAAUCUGAAUUCCACUUUUUCCCCACUCUUUUGUUGGCACAUUUUCCCCCAUUAAUUAGUAACUUAUUUACGCAUAUAAUUAACAAAUUAAAUUUAGGUUUAAAUACCUUCACCUUCUUUGAAGUUUUAAUAAAAAUGAAAAGGAAUAGAUGAAGGCUAUCAUUUUUUUAAGUAUAAGAACCAAACUAUUAAAAUUGGAAUAACAGAGACCAAAAUGAGCAUUUUAUUUACAACAUUCUAAAACAAAAUAUGGAUAUCAAAAUCUAUUUUGAAAUGUUAAUUAGUA
Molecule: long non-coding RNA, 50043 nt
Filed under: Cucumis sativus (cucumber)
Lineage: Eukaryota; Viridiplantae; Streptophyta; Magnoliopsida; Cucurbitales; Cucurbitaceae
Description: long non-coding RNA (CSAT_LNC002318)
Source: RNAcentral